GUCGACAACACAGUAAACCUACCAUACUCUAGGCAAAGGCAAAGGUUAAGCCAAGUUCAAUAAAGGAAUAGUGGGGACCCUUUCGAAAGCCCCUGCGCGUUAUUCAUUUAUUAUAUAUGAGUUCAAAGCGAAAAGCAGGUAUAGCUGGGCCAGCAGUCAUAGGUGUAAGGUUCAAACCCACUUCUACGAUUGUACCUACAUUCCAUUCAACAAGUCCUGGACAAAUUGUCCCGCUGACAGCACUGAUAAUACAUACGAUUCAACUCAUUAACCUUAACUGUCAACUCAAACACAUUCAUUUAUUAUCUUUCCCCCCACCUGUUAUGUAGGAAUAAAUGGAAUCAUAGGAAGGAAGAUCAAAUGGAAUCAUAGGAAGGAAGAUCACAGGACUGACUGAGCUUGAGUAAACUAGUACUUAAAGCUAUAAUGAACCUGCUUUUGACCUUCCGCCAGUGCUCACUUUUGUAGGCUAAUGUCUUGUCUUGUCCCGUGUGGUUCAGAGCUCACUAAAGGAGAGGCAGGCCACUUGCUAUCAAUAAUCAAUACAUAAAGAAGUCAAGUAAGGGUUGAGUUAAGUAGUUGGAUUGCCAGUUGCUAGUUAAGAUCUUAUAAGCACUAGGUUGAUUCUUUCCAUAAGUGAAACAUACUUUAGCUACACUCUUUUCGGUAGAGAGUGGCCGUGUUAGUAUCAAAAUCACAGGUGUAAUAUGGUUUAAAGGGAAGUAGUAAAGCUUUGAAGUCCGUAGUAGCAGACCGUAGUCACAGACCAAUAGGCAGGAAUAUCAGAUUUGAAGCGAGUAAAGGCAGCUUUGUUCUCGGCAGUUAAAGAGGACCCUAGAUCGAGUCCUGUUAGUAUUAGUACUAGGUUCAAGCCAAACAAGUAAGGAUCCCCGGACCAGAAGCUAAAGCAUGUAAGUAAGGUUCAUAGACAAUAAAGCAAGGUUCGAGUUGCCCUAUUUCAGUCUGAUUAGCAGUGGUGCAAUUCCGAGUUACCAGGUUCCUUAUUCUAGUUAGUGGGGGUGACUUGGGAACACUUGUUCCAUUAUAUAUUCCUGCACCACGACUUGGAGUUAGCCCCGGUUCCACUCUGUUAGGGGCCCGUUCGAUUCCUGUAUGCCGGAGAAGUUCCCCAUUCUUUGAAUUACCUCUGUCAUUCCUCUCUUGGGGGCGUGCCCAGCCGCGGAGUUCCUAGUUCAAGCCCUAUUAAGUAGUGUUUCCAUUCUCUCCGGUAGUGAUUUCACUCUUUCCAGUGGUCAUUGGAUCUCCGGUUUCGAGUUAACAUAUUGGAAGUAGUAGGCUUUCAGCACCUAGGGAAAAGAUAAGGAUGAUUAGCAUUGAUUCAAUUACCGUUAGCAGCAGUAUGGGUCUUGUCAACAGUGAUUCAAUUCCAAGUUCUAAGUUAUCAUAUUAGAAGCACUAGUGAAAGUCUGAGUUAGUGCCCAAAGGAUUAUUAUUAUAGGUUGAAAGCAAAUAGAGCAAGUAGGUUGAAAGCAAAUAGAGCAAGCCUUGAGCUGUGGGUAAGGUUCGAGGACAAUAGGGAAGUAAAUAGAAGGAAGAGUCAAGGGCAUAAGAGUGAGGGCCAAGCAAGUAGUAGAAGUAAUGGUUCAAUUACUCUGUUAUAGGGAUUAGGCUUAGAAGCACUAGUUUCUUUCUUGAGAAAUAAUAAUAAUUUAGAUAAGUUACUACAAGCGGGUAUCUCGGGCGAAAGGAUGCUACCAGUGUUGGAGGCUUUGAAGCGGGGGAAUAGAAGUAGUAUCAGAAAGUUUUCUCAUCAAUCAUAGCGGGAAGCUAUUCUUCACAGGAGAUGCAGGUCACUUCCCGAGUGUUGCUGGAACAAUAGCAUUAGGGAGUUUACCCCGUUAGAUGAGGAUACACCAGUGGAAUCUAUCUCUUUAAAAUAGAUCAUAUAUAUCAUAGGAAUUGCCCCAAACUCUAUCUUCCAAAGCACUUAGUCGUAGCCAAACACUUGAACUAGCACUAUAGGCAGUUUCAACAACCAAUCUCUCUUCUCUUCUUGCCAACCCGAACUAACUCUAUCCUGCCUGCCGACCUAAACUCGUCUGUCUGUCUUUCUUUCUUAUGAGACCCCUCAGGACUACUACUUGUUGAGUCAACUACUCCCUGACUAACUCUUUCACUAGGGUAGGGCUCAACUAAUACAUAGCUCUCUGUGGGCAGUCUCUUACUAAUACAUACUUCAUGAACUCCCUUACAAACUCUUUCACUCGAAACUCCUCUUAUUUAAUUACCUGAUGCUAUACUAGAGUCACUAGAAACAUUCCAUUCUUCAAUUCAAACUAAACCAAUAACUCCUAUAGUGCAUAUUCAUUUCGCAGAUCAAUUGAACUGUAACACAACUAUAAGCCUUAGCGCAACUAACUCUCUUAAAGACUAAGAUCGGUAGGCUAUCCUAACUCUCCUUUCUGAACCGACUUCACUGUCUACGCCAAUGUCACUUACCUCCGCGAGUCUAGUUUUUGGGAGUUACAUGGGCUACUCAGAACAUAGGUGUUACGACGCAAAAAGAAGUAAAGGGAUCUUGAAUCCAUUAUAUAUGUAGAAUCUUCUAGCUAUAUUAUAUUCAAUAUGAAAGAAAGCAGUAAGCUGUCUGGUUACGAUCUUAUAUUAGCUGUCGUUCCUAUCAAUACUAUAAGCAACGGAAUAAACAAACACUAUUAUUGACACAAGCAACAGAACAACUAAAUGCGUUAGUGCGCAGAUAAGGGGUGUUAACGUCAGUUAGUAUAGUGUAGGAGUUUUUUGACUCAAUGUUCUAAAAUGUGUCUAUUUCUAUUCUUUUAUUAGUAGUUUAGAGUGUUUUUCAUCUCUUCCUCCAAUAUUAGUUUAGUUAAGCUAUCUUCUGCUCACCAAGCAAACAAUAAUGUUUAUGACAUGUAUCAAAAGUGUAACACCGCUUACUUGCAUUCGGCUUAUAUCGGCUCGAACAUAGGGAGACUCAUAUUCCAUACUUAUAGGUUCUGGAACCCCACUUGCACUUGUGGAUUUGCUUGUUCCCCGAGAGUAAGCGUUAGCACAAGUUCAAGUAAGCCUUAGUGUAACGGCUUAGCACCCUAAUAAAUAAGCGUUAGUGAGUUACAACAGUAAGGUUAAUCAAUGACUUUAGUUGUGCACUCAUAUUCAAAUAGUCAGGGCAGUCUGGUUUAUAUCUUACAUAAGUUGUGCACUAUCAUUCAACGCGCGUUAGGCUUAUAGUGUUGGAUGCUUACGCGAGUGACUACCUAUAUUCCUUCUUAAAGGAGGCCAGCCGUUAGUUUACUAUUCCACGAUAUCUUAAAGGAAGCCAGCCGUUAGUUUACUAUUCCAUCAAUGAUAUAUGAUGAUAGUUCAAUUAUAUUCCGACUUCACACUGGCCUAAACAGAACUGCUUAACUCUGAUUGUCCGUGCUUUCCCGGUCGCAGGAACAGAACUGCAACUAUACCUUCCCUCUAGAACACCUAUGAUGGUAGUAAUAUACUCCUCUUAUGCUCUUAACUGUAUGUAUACGCCUAUAUAGCGAAUAAGACUCGCGCCCACCUUUCCUUUCUAAAGCCUUUGCUUGUUACAUUUCAUCUAGUGCACAUCAACAAAGAAAAUAGACAUAAAGUCAACUAACAGAAUAAAGUCAACUCACUCUUUACUCUAAACAAGAAUCAUUCAUAUCAGAGGAAGAAUCACUCAUAUCAUAGACGCAUCCGCUAAAGUCAGCCCUUCGCGCAACAACCAAAAUAAGUUAGCGCCCCGAAAGCUCACGUAAGUACUAGUUUGUUCCGUUGCUUGGCCCUUAUUUGAUAUUAGAAUUGGGUUUCUCAUAUGUUUAUUUGAACCUAUUUUAGGGUAGUUCAUUAGCUAAACUAGGGCAAAAACCAGCUAGCUCAGCUCGAGUUAUUCUCUUUUUUAGCAAACAACAGCAAGUUCUAUUCUCCUUUUUAGAUGUUUGUGCGUUACCCCCAAAGACGGAGCAUACCUUUCAGCUCACAAAGAAUUCAGGGUGCUACGACAAGACCGAGUGGUGGAUGGUCGCUUACAGAAUGAGUUACCCGACUUGAAGAAUAAGGACACGCCCCAGGGACAAUGAACAACAAUGCAUGAACGAUCGUGUCCGAAGACUUAUUGCUUGUGCAUGGUCGCUUACAGACUUAUUGCAUGAUCGCUUACAGAAUGAGCGGGUGCAUCAGAGAAUUAUAGUAUUGCAUUCAAGUUAUUUUAUAAGAGAUUCUAUAGUAUUCUAUUAGGAAAAUGUGGUAUCAAAAGGACAAUUGCUUUUCUCAUUUUGUAUAAAAAAACCAGCUUUUCCAAUUGUAUUUUAGGCUGUUUGUGUGGCAGCGAUGUACCUUCAAUGAAUGCCCCGAGGUACCUUCCACGCCGGGGGAUCUUCUUUCUAUGCACGACCGACCGACCACCAGAAGACUUACUGAAUGAAUGGACCUACUAUGCUUUAUUGAUUGAAGACCGAGUGAACUACCCUGUAUUUAUUGUUGGCCCCUAGCCCUGUUGCCAGACCCCUUCGAUGCACGACCGAACGAACAAUGAACGAGGUACGUAGUUGACAGGAGAGGCUUAGUUGCCAGCUGCAGGGCUAGUUGAAAGAAGUAUUUGAACUCAGGCUCCUCCACCGUAGUAAACAAAUGAAGUGAAGUUCGCUACCUGUGCUACUACUACCGGGCAAAAGUGUGCUACCGGGCGAAAGUCUGCUACCAGUCUGAUUGGCAAGCGCAACUCUUAUUUGAAAGAAUGGAGCACUAGGGAGUACUAUCCGGGUUUUUGCCUUACUACUAGCUUGGCCCAUGACUUAUGAUAACUCUAGCCGGAACCCAGGCUUUCACUACGGAUCUCGAAACCUGCUAUCAUUUCUUGCUUUACGGCAUCUAAGAAUAGAGCUGUGCGCCAGGGAACAAUACCAGAACCCAAAACAGGGAAUUGACCAGUACCCUAAGGGACUGAACUCUCAAAAGGGAAUUGCACCCGAACCACUGAUAACAAGAACUCUCCCACCAACACUCCCUAGUUAUUUAUUUCGAAUUGCAAAACUAGACCUUUAGCUACUGGCCUCGAACCUUGCUCUACUGGGGCCUAUGCUAUUACCUUUCCCACUGGUUCAGUCUUACUUGACUUUGUUUUCAUUCCCUUGGAUACGCACCCUAGGUCUGCUACUACUUCAUCUCAAUCUUAGCAUUCUAUCUUGUAUUCCAUCUUGUUCAUUUCAUUAUGGAAUUAAGUAUUCCUUCAUUGUAUAUAAGAUUCAUAAGUAGGCUACCCAUGUCCGCCACUAAACAAAAUAAGGCUUAAAUCGCAGUUAACAGGGCUAUAUCUCACAACUAACUAGGAAGUCCGCUACUACUUCCAAGACUUCCUUUCCUUUCUUUUAUUUCUUGUACUGAUGCCAACAGCACUAGUUUUCUCAUAACCGGGGAUCAAACAAAUAAGUAAGAGAACGAAACCAAUAUACACCAGUAAUAGAAUCACAAAUCACUUCAAAACUAAUAAGAGAAUAGAGCUGCUGGCAAACUGGCCUACUCGACUUUCUUUUGAGUCUGUAGCUGCUGACUUCUAACCUUACUACUUGGAGUACCUUGCCUAUAUAUCUCCUCUACCUAACAGGUUUCGAACUUUUACUUCGCCUCUUUAGCAGCUUACUUCUUUUUCUUGCCGUUCUUGCCAUUAUUGCCUGCCGUUUCUUAUUUGUUCCUAAGAUGUUUCGUUUCUUAUUUGUUCCUAAGACGACCGGUUUCUUAUUUGUUCCUAAGACGACCGGUUUCUUAUUUGUUCCUAAGAUGUUUCUUUAUUUGUUCCUAAAAGAUAAUGUUUUUCUUAUUUGCUCCUUAAGACGGUUUCUGACUUUUAGUCGCCGUUACUUUAUUCUUAUGAAUGUGAGUGCAAAAGAAUGGAUUUAGGCUUCCAAGCUGUAAGUUGUUUGCUUGUUCCUAAGCUUGUUCCUUCCCCUCUUUGUAGUUACGGACUUAUUCUUCAGUUGACAAGUAGUAGUCCAGGUUGACAGCCCGUUUACAGCACCAACAAGUAGAAAUGCCCCAUAAAGUAUAUGUUUUCACUCUAUCUUAUAUUAACUCUAUGGCUCCUUAAAUGAGGAAGCCCCUUACUGGAUAAAGCCCCUUCCUUAUAGUACUAGAGCCAGAAAUCAUAAGUAGCAAACGAAGCUAAUCUUUCUCUGGCAACUAGCUAAUCUUUCUCUGGCUAAUGAUUCUCUGCAGUACUACCGGUAUUCCACUGGCAUAACAUCUUCAGAUUGAAACAAUCAAAGGAAAGCGGGAAUAUCAAUAUCCGUUUUCUCAGAAGCGCCCCCGGAAGUAGCGAAUUGUAGCAAGUUGACAGUAGCAAGGGGGAUAGAUCUAGCUGGUACGAGGGCAGGGUAUCGAAAGGGAGUUCUUUUCUGGUCUGCCCUGUUUUGUGGAAUCCUAUUUAGAAGCAGUUCGAAAGUAAGGUUAAGGCAUGGGAAGGAAAUCAAUCAAGAAAGAAGGUCAAUCCAGAAAGCAAGAAAGAAGGUUGGAAAAGGGGGUUCUUGUUUUGAAAGAAAGGAGACCGGGUUCAAUUAAUUGUAUCCAUAGGUAUUGUAGCUAGCAGGGUGAAAUGCAUUGUUGCGAGUUAGCUGAGUCUGCCUUCUUGCCAUUAACCUUAUUAGUAGUAGUUCUGGUUUGAUUCUUUUGUUUUAUACCUUCCCUUCCCGAUCCUGUCUCUGAUCCUUAUCUAGUUGAUGCUUAUGAUACAAAGCUAACCUCUGAUCGAGUAGACCUAACUAACCCUUUGUUUGCCUCUGCUUUCUUUUACUCCGCCACAACAUUUGUUUGAUUCCCUUAGUAACAGUGGUUUUCAUUGACCUCUCCCUCGCAUCAAAGGCAAUAAUCGAACAGUUCUGCUUCCUCGCCUCGAAUCAAAGCCAAUAAGACUUGUAUGCCAGGUAUGCCAGGUUCAGAGGCUUAAUCAAGUUAGAUUACAUGCGGUAGGCACGAUAGGAGACAUGUAGUGAGUGACUGGAUGUAGCUUUUUCGCCUCUGAUACGGAUCUCAGGUAAGCCAACAACUCAGUUGCUACUGGACUUAGGGAAGAAAGGAAGGAACCAUAAAGAAGGGAACCGUCCAGAUUAGGAUUUCCUAUCAACUAGAGCAGCCUGAAAGUACCAACAUAGGUAAUUUGCCAAGAGUUCAAUCAAUAGUUAUACAUCAAUAGUUCAAUCAAUAGUUCGGUGCCCUUACCGAGUGCUGUCUUCUGCUUACGUAAGAGUGAGUUUCAAGUCCAGUGCCCCAUUAAGAACCUGCCGAGCGUCAGUCAUUGCCAGUGGUUUCAUCUGUCUUUGUUGCAAGAGGGAUAGGAGAGGUUACUAACUAGUUGAAGUAAGUAUAAGUCAGUUUCGAAUACCGCGGCAAAGCCAUGACUUUCUUUCUUACUGCCCGGCACACAAGCACUUCUGGAAGUUACUUUAGAGGCGAGGGCAGCGUCAGCUGCGAUGCCGAGUAGUUAUUGUAAACCUUGCCUAACAAAGCACUUAGUAUAAGCUUGGCCUCUAUUCUGUAAUUGAACCUUUGUAGUAGUGGCUUUGCUCGAGAACAAGUAUAAGAAAACAGUGAAGUGAGUUGAGUAGUUAAACGGAAGAAGAUCUGAUGCCGGGCCGGGUGUUGAAGAAUAAAGAUCAGGUACGAGUAUAAAGAUCAGGAUCAGAUGCCCAAUCGACUUCUGUUUGAGCAGUAACUCGCUAACGGAGCUUCCAAUUAGAAAGUACUGAGUGCUGGUAAGGGGGAUUCUAUAUCCAGAGUUGCAUCAAGAACAUUCCUUAUUCUAUCUAUCUUGGCUCUGAGGCGGGUGAGGCAGCUUUAUCAACAGAAUAAGGGUUUACAGUCCCAACAAGAACAAGAACAGGAGCAGAACUACUUGCUACAGGCUCCGCUCUAAGAGCCGACUUUAGAUUGGAUUUAUACCUUCCUUUUUGCUCUGUUCCCCGGGCAUGCUCCUAAAGAUGGGUUUCGGUGUCAGAUUAGCGUGAUAAGCCAAUAAAUCCUUCUAGCUUCUUUUCUACUUUCACUAUUAACUCAAUUAGAAUUGCACUCGGUAGGAGGAAGUGAGCUAAACGUUAGCGAGUCCGGGAUUCACUGGUUCAAUUCUGAGUUACCGGACUCGUGCUUAGAAGGUUCGUGCAUCGAAUGUACCUCGGGGAUUCAUAGAUCAAAUAUACAAAUAGUAGUCCUUUUUGACUUUACUAGGAUAACAUCUAUUCUUUUAGGUACGAGUCGGAUUCUUUAUUAAUAGCGAUAGCCUUGUGAUCACACCAGCAGGAUUCUACUCCUGGAUGCACAAAGAUCCUAUUCUCAAUAUAAGCUAACUAAAUAAUGAAUCAAAUGCAAUAACAAGAGAAUCAAAGACAAGCUUAGAUGAAGUAGUGGCAGAAUAGGAGACAGGGAAGUAAUACUAAAGGGUUCAGGCAGUAAGCCUUAGAGACAGGAAAGGAAGGCGCUAACAAAGGCAUGUAAGGCAGGAGUUUAGUACUGAGAUAUAAGGUAUAAAGCCUGGGUUCCUCGCUCAAGUAGUAGUGGGAAGGUCCUUAAGCUAUGUGUUUGAGGUUCAAUUCUUACUGAUAGUAUAGUGAAGGUCAUUAGCGAUUCGAUUCCUGUUAGCGGUAGUGCUAGUGUAUAUUUCCUACUUUUCAUAAAGGAGAGGCAGCCUUGGCUCCAGGUAGAGUCGUACUUAUGUUCAAGGUAGUAAGCAUGAUAGCUAGUAGGGAAAGGAUCGGUGUCAGUAGGGGGGAUAAGUUCCAGUAUUGCCGGCACCAGUGUGAGUUUUCAAGUCAAAAGAGUUAGGCUUGGGUUGGGGAGAGGUUAGUAGGAAUGAGAUCGAGUAAUGGCAGUUCCAUCUAUUUUGGUUGUAGUCAGUACACAUCGAGUUCAAUCCAUUGUAAGUAGUGUUCAAAUCUGGUAGUCGUUAGUUUCGUUCCCGCUCCUAGUAGCCUAAGGUUGCGGGUAAGGAGACAUAGGCCGAUGUGUAAAGUUGUAAGAAUCGGAAACUGUAGAGGCAGGCUUGCUAUCGGUGUUUUCACUCUCAUCAGUGGUGUCACCGUUGGGGUCUUGCCGGCAGUGGUUCCAUUUGUUAUCAUAAGUAACAGGACGCUCUAUUCUUUCCGCUAUUGGCAUCAGGCUGAAGUAGCAAGCAAGCAUAGUCAGAAUCACAGUAAGUAGUUAAAGAACGGUAGCCUGGAUAGUAAGCUCGAUAGUAAGUAAAGCAAGGUGAUUAUAGGAGUAGUUAAGUUGGCAAGUAAGUCAAGUCAGACCUGGAGUUAAGGCAGGUAUGGACAUACAUAAGUAUGUUGUGGGGCUAUUUAGUCUUGUCGGGUAGGUAGUAAGCCCCCUAUUAGCGCUAGGUUAAGUCUGUUCGCCAGUACAGUAGUUCCAUUCCAUGUUAUAUAAGUCAAAGGACUAGAAGCACUUGUCGAAUUCCCUAUUAUAAUCAAGUAUGAAAGCGCUAGGUUAAGUCCCAUAAGUACUAGCUCAAUUCCGAUACGAUAACAAGGUUCGAACAGAUAAGUACGAGAAUACAUCUACAGCUUCUAAGCAUUAAGCUACUGACUCGGAGUUACACUCUACUAUCAACAAGAUCGGAAUGUCACUCAACUAUCAAUAAUAAUAGUACUGGUACCUAACCUAGGAGGCUUAACCCACAAACCAACUCUGUCUUUCCUUGUUAUUAUGCUUACCACUUGGGUUCUGAAACUCCAUGCUUGAAUUCCGUAUUUACUGCUCGAUUCUUCCUUCCCGGGAGAAGUACUCAUUCUUCUGUUCCUGAUGUAAGAGUUACUUUCUUAUCAGUAAGGGGAUCAGACUUCAAAGAAGGAGUAGCCGAACGAGGGUGAUUCACUAGUAACAUAUAAUAAAGAAGGAUAACGAAAGUAACAACACAUGAUAUAAUUAAGUAACCUCCCUGCGAUACUCACUUAUUUAUUGCUGACAGAUUAACUACGCUUACUCACUUAUUGAAUUUAAGUAAGUAGCAAGCAGAGGAUACUCUUUAAGACGACAAGACCAGACGAUCGGGACCAUAAGCUAUUUAAUCUGGUGUUUCGGAAUCAAAUAAGUAUUUCGACUUCUUCUUCCAAUGCAUCAAAGGAAAGGGCUGGGCUCGCGCAGGAGCUCAACUGACACGACACGCUUAAGCGCUCGCUAACGCAUCAACUUAAGAAUAUAUUAAGGCACCCAUUGAUGCACCUUCACCCGGCCUUAUAGUAAUUCGCUAACGUUAGAGUUUUGCUCCUGAAAAUAGGACUUGUUCCAUGUAUAUUAUUGGAUUCUAUAUUAUAUUAGUAUAUGGAGCAAUAGGUUUCUAAAUAGAGCAAUAGGUUUCAAGUUGGCUUACGUUCAGUUCAUCUCUGAUAGACCAGUUAUCGUUGGCAGUAGUUCAUAAUCAGAAUCCGUUUUGCUAGAAGCGUCGGCUCCAUCAGGACAGGAAAGGUGUGUGUGAUUAUAGCUUGAGUCAGACCACAGGUAAUAAAAGAUGUAUUGGUGCUUUACUUAUCUCGUACUUUACUUAUUUCUGACUGAACUUAUUUCGUAUCUAGGUGCUUUACUUGCUUGCAACUUCGUAUCCUAAAGCAUUAACAACAACAGUAAAGAGCAGCAGUAGGGCGAGUUAGACGUGCGAGUGGCACUAUUACUAUACUGUGAACUCAAUUCCAUUCUUAAGUGCAUGUCGUAUAUAAUAUAAUGUAUUUUGAUUCGCCCCUUGUAGGUAAGCAGUGAGUUUAGUUUACAAAUAUGAUUCUAUAAAGGAAAGGGUGAACUCAAUUCCACAAGGGUAGAUAAAUGACUGUACUAAGUGAAGCGAAAGAAGGAAGUGUUGUAAAUUGUUUUGUUACUUAUUUCUAUCAUGUGUCCUACUUGACCUUUAUACUGUGAUAUGUCUACUUCACCCCUGUCUACUUUAUGAACUUAACCGCUGAUUCUAUCUAUAAUUACACUCGAAAGCAACCCUGAGAGAAGGUCGAGAAAUCUUAAUUAAGGGUAGACCUUGAAAGCCUGAUUAAGGGUCGCUGUUCUCUAGCUUAGCUUCUGAUUCGCUAACAAGUCCCUCGUGGCAAAGAGCCUUUGAGGUGAGACCACUUUUGAGACUUUCCAUCCUAUUACCAAUAACAAGAAGUAUAAUAUAGUUGAGUAUAAAAUCCAAGAGUUCGGUACCAUUAAUGAAAGGUAUAGCUCGGUGCCACCAUAGUUGAUAGACCAUAGUUGAUAGUUGGAGUUAUUAUUAUUAUUAUAGUAGUAGUCGUGUCAUACCAAAAGCAAGUAAUAUAAGACCACUAGCCGGGAAGGUAAUACUGAUUGAUAGGCAUGUCAAGUCAGAGUUGUUCCCGGGGUAUUUAUUUGUAUGUCGCUAUUCUUUUUUUUAGUACGAGAGACACGAGCUCAAUUCUAGUAGUCAUAGUGGCCUUUCUUAUUUCUUAGUGCAUUUCUUUUUGAUACUAGUUCCGUUAUUUGUAUUGGCAACUCCAUUCCCUUUCUGGUGUAAUACGUAUUAGCAGUAUAUAGUCUGUAUUUCCACUUUGAUUCCUUAAAAGCACCUAGAGACCCUUAAAAGCACCUAGAGACUAAGUAGUUAGCGUUGGUACUUCAUUCGCGGACUACCCAAGGGAAUUCUGAUUAUGGAAACUCAACCUAUGGCUACUCAUUCGCUUUUAGUAGGUGCGCCACACAGACUUCAUUUACUUAUUCCUGGGCUCGAGCGUAAGGUCGGGAUUCUUAGACCCAAUCUUCUUAUGGCCUUUUGUACUCCUUAUUUACUAUCUCAUUAUUUCAUUUGAAACACACACAGUCUCUUCCUUUUGGGGUUCCUUUAGUUUCCUUAUUGCAUCUUCACUCUUCUACUUCUUAGGACAAAUCUGGAUUUCCUAAUUCAAUGUCUUAAAGCUAUGCCAGGCAUCCUUACAGUUGAGGUUGGUUCUAAUACGUAUUUCUAGUAUCCUGACUUCUGUGUUUAAGUCAACCACUUUAGUUUAGGUAUUCUACUUAUGAGAUGAGUGCAAUUCUGACUGCUAGUAAGUUCAAGUCCCGUCCUGGUCUUAUCGGUUUUAUAGCAGUACUGGUAGGCUGACUUUAUAGGUGACUUCUUCAAUUCCUAGUGUAUAGCUUCAUUAUAAGUUGUCCAUUUCUUUCUUCUACUUACCUAUCUUAUACUGGAGCUUAGGUCUUCUACUUGUUCGUUGGAUUCCCUAUAUUGACUGGGGAUGCCCUACAUCAUACCAAUACGACUAUUAGGCUUCCACUAUCCUAGAUCAGACCCUACCCAUAGAUUCUUCUUUGUUCGGAAGCAAGCCGGUCCGAUUCUUAUUCCUCUUCCAUUGUUUGACUAUUUGACUUACUUGUUUGAUUCCGACUUGCCCAAAAGUGCUAGGUUGUCGAGAGGGAGGUGGUGACUUCUCCUAUUACUUAAUGCACUAGACCACACCGAUUCUAUAGGCUAUUGACUCCAACUUUACAUACAGUUUGAGUUAGCUUGGAAAACAGCGUGGGCAGAUCAGUUUGAGAGUUCGGAUUGGAAUACUCAUGAUAGAAACAUAGGAUCCGGACAGGAGUUAAAGAAUCACAGAUAGGCGUUUGAGAUCAGUGGUUAAGAAAGAAUGUAGCUGCUACGCGUAUGAGUGAAAGACAGGAUAGGCAUACUUAGAGUUAGGAGGGUGAGGCUGAUAGCUUGGCGGGGGCAGGUCCGUUUUCGAGCUAGUGGGGGAUAAGGACAAGCGCAUAGGCAUUUCCGUCAGUAGGGUCUGUUUGAAGCUGGAUUCAAUGCAGUAGCUCUGGUCUUAAAAGCAGUAGUUCUAUUCUAUUAGUGGCGAUAGCCUUUCUUUUAUGAUAGCCAGUAAGGACCCCCGAGAGUAUUCUCCAUAGUAGCUUCAUUCUAUUAUUGCUACUGAUUAAUCCGGAUCUGUAGUAUUAGUCUGCUUCUCGCCUUAUAUCCUUAUUUGUAGUGAUAUCAGAGUGAAAGAAGCAAGUAAAGGGCUUUAAGGCAGUGGCGAUAGGCUCGUUCUUGUGUUGACAUCCUAUAAUAAUGGAGGCUCCUAGGUUGUAGUCAAAGAAUGAAAGUGAUUAGUAGUAUUGAAGUAAGUUAUUGAAGUCAGCAGCGGUAGGUUGAAAAGAGAGAUAGAUCAAGUUUCAAGUAAGGAAGAGCUGGCUAAGAUACAGUUUGGAAGCAAGGUAGGUCAGAGGCACAUGGAUAGGAGUAAAAGCCUGGGUUCUUUCUGCAUUAAAGUAUAAUCGGUAGCACAAUAGUGGAUUUCCUAAUAGUAAGUUCAAGUAUCAUUGUUAUGAGUUGGAUUUCAGUGAUCCAGUGUCAAUUCUCAUUGGUAGUGAUUGUAUUCCUGUUAGUAGUAAGUUGAGAUCAAAGUAAAGAUAGUAAGCCUGGUUUCUAUUCUUUUCAGUAGUGAUUUGAAUCUCUUAGUAGGUGGAUACAUUUCGGGUCUUGUUACCAGCAGUUAUAGGUUUCAAGCUAGGAUCAGUGUCCAGUGAUACAGAGUGCAAGCACGGAGCGGAGGGCUAGCUUCUUUGUUUCAUUUUUGGUUAAUCAUAGUUGGAUUCCUUAUUUUGAGUUUAGUUGGCGGGUUGGAUAAAUCAGAAUCACAGUCUUAGGGUCGGGAGCAGGUGAAGCAGAGUUCAGUUAGUAUCCGGACUUUUGCAUUUCAUUCUGUAUUUCUGACUCUUAGCCUUAGAGCUAUUAGUUUGAGUUUCCCUAGCCGUGGGUAUCCUUCCAAAUAGAAUAUGAGGAGUCGACAGUGAAGUCUCUACUACUAUACUAUAGGUUGGUUCAAGUAUAACUAAUUACAGGACGAGAGACAGGAGCGUAGGGGCUCAUAGUGAGUAAAGCAAGUCUGAUGUGUUAGUUAGUCAUUCCUAUAAGCACUUGUUUGAGUCUCUUACUGACUUGUUUGGGUUCCCUUCGAUCUCACUGACGCCGAAGACAUCACGUAGUAAUAACAAGCACAAAACGAAUUGUAUGAUAGGCGGUAGGGGACUUGGUCGCAGUGGUUUCAUUCCAAUAUAGUAUGGGACUGAUCUAACCUAAUGGGGUAGUUCUAGUGCUUGAGAGCAAGGAUAGUUAGAGUUUCAGCAGGAAAGGGCAGCUUUAAACGGCUCGACAGAAGGAGAGGAAGGGCAGUCUCAUAGGUUCAAUAAAGAAAGAAAGUACACAAUGUAAGGCUAAGACAUAGGAAAGUCAGAAUAGGGUUUCGGAGUUUCUUUCCCACUUAUAGUAGUUAGAGAUUCUAUUAAGUAGUGUGGUUUCGGUCUGAUAGUAUAAGAUUCGAACUUAGAAGUCAGAUGUGAACCCGCGCAGGGAUGAUGGGCUAACAGUAAGGGCAGUGAGACUUAUAGUUGGGAUAUAGAAUACAAGUGGAGUCGUGAGAGUUGAAGCAAGGGUUAGAUCCGAGGUAGCUAUAUAGCCUUAAAAGCACUGGUUGAAGUCCUGUGUAGUGGGCGCUGUUACCUACUUUGAGUUAAGGUAUUGGUUUCCCCGGUUCGAUUCUAUCAAGCAGUGUUUUCAGUCUAUUAUGGGUGGGCUGGUCUCUCCAUAAGUUUAGUCAGAAUGGCAGUUCUUAAAGGCAUACUAUGCUACAACAUAGGAAUUUAGGUCAGUAACUACAGAACCAAAGGAAGGAUAGUCAGAAUCAUAUUAAGUGGAGCAAAGACCCGGAUCGGAUCAGUGGUUAACGACUGAAUGAAAACCCGAGAGAGUUCAGAGACUUUAAGCGAAGAAGGGAAGAGCCGAUAUAAGAAAUGGAGGUAUGGGUCUGUGAGGAGUAGAGACAGCAAAGCAAGGGUCGAUUACAUUGAGUGGCCCGUAGCGGCAGUAGAUAAGUAAUAAGAUAAGUAAGGACAUUGGCGGAGAGUGCCCCGUUAGUGAAGUUGUAAUUCCAAGUUUCCAGUUAAGGUAUUGCUAGCAGCGACUCAAUUCUUUGACUUACUUGCUCGAUUCUAACUUGGCCUAUAUGCCUUUUCUUCUAGAUGUGCUAGCGUACUUAGUUCAACUCUUUCAGUUGGUCUUAAUGGUCUCAAGCACAUGGGUAGUGCUAAAGAAUGAAAUUCGAAAUAAGGAACUCUACUAAUACUAUCAGACCUUCGCUCUAAACUCAGGCUUGCUCCACUGUUUCCUAGUCUGUCUCUACUUACGGAUCCUAGGAAUCCCCAACUACCUAUACUUAGCUUUAAGUAUGACUUUCCUGACUAUUAGGCUGACUCUCCUGUCUCUAUUUCUUAUUAAUAGCGGUUUUGCUCUUGUACUUGACUUAUUGGUCUGUUGUACAGGGGUCACUAUACUUUAUCUGAUAGCUGCCUAACAGGCUUACUAACCUAUCUUUCAUUCUUUUCCUACUGAUACAGAUCUUUACUGCCAAACGAACAUAACUUCUUUUUCUUUUGUAGCUUGAUUGUUAGGCUCACUUUACUUCCCCUAUUAGUAUGCAAUGCGCCCCUCCCUUACCUUACUUCAGUCUACGGUUUGCUUUAUCUCAUUCUCCAACUUACUGACUAUUGGGCUUAACUAUACUACCCAAUGGAAUGGAACUGGUGCUUAUGAGAAUGAAACCAAACCAACAAAAGAAAGAGUUUCACUAUAGAGUCAGGAUACCAUCGGAUAGGAAUAGAAAGAAGGCUACCAUACAAAUACUAAUAUACAAAUAUCGGAAUGAAAACACUGCCAGCAAGAAGUCAACUGCUGUUCCCUAGCUCUCAAGUAGGAAAGUAAUAAUCCAAAAGCCAUUCUUUAUCUCCUCGAUUUGGGGCUUACUCUCUUUGUUUAUAAACCUCACUUUCCUGGCUAUUGGCCUGUUACUUGCUCUUUUCAUUCUCAAAUGUCAGUAUUCAAUUACAAUAUGUUAAUUUAUAUGAUAUUUGGGAGUAGUUCAAGGCCUUGGUGGUAUGAUCUAAGGCAUCUACUAAUAAGAAUGGACCUGCUACUCGGAAAUCGACCGGGGCAUAUGAAGCCCGCCCUGCUUAUUACUUAUCCUAGUAGAGGCACCUCAACCCUUUUUGAUCUUACAAAUAAGGAAUCCCGCUAAUUGCUAUUAGCCUGGCAUCCCUUCUGUAUUACCGGACCCAGCUUCACUCUGACCUUCUUUGCCUUUAGUCCCACUGUACUCUCCUUUAGCCUUAGUUUCCCGGCUAAUUGCUUUGAUUUCUAUCUUUGAUUAUUAUAUCAUAUUAUGAAAUGCACUAUUCUGUUAACUUACGUAAGAUUGAUUCGUAUGCUGCUCGGUUCAGUGCUAUUCUCCCUUCACCAAUAAGGAGAGAUUUGUGUAAAUGUUACUAAAGCAUAUAGCCUCUCGAACAGAGGAAUAAGAAUAAGAAUCUUAGGGUGAACUAAAGAAUAAUAGACAGGAUCCGCAUACUCCAAUUCAUUUACUUAGUACCUUCCUUGCGGGCAACUCUCACUUUUUCGGGUGCCAAUCAAUAGGGGUGUUUCGACGUAUCCGGAUUGGAUAUUCUAAUGCCUAUCCACCAAGUAACUACGAAUCAAAGUAGGGCAGGGCAGUCUCAUAGUUAGUGAAGUAAGGCUCCGGAUCAGUAGUAAGGUAAUUCAAGUAUGGAUUAGCAGACUUAUCGACAGGGCAGUCAGAGUGAUACCGAAGUGCAGACUAACAAUAAGACAUAGGAUCCGUACACCGAGUUCAAUCUAUUAGGAUAGUCGUCAAUUCUUAGUUGCUUUUUGAAUUCUCAUAAGUCGUAGUUGGUUCUCUCUUUUUUGCUUUACUUACGUUAGUGGCUUGAUCAACUAGUAUGGUUUUUCAGUCUCCUAAACAGGGCAGUCAAAGUCUGAUAGCCCCGAGUUAUGUUCUAGUAAUUAGCACAUCCCCUAGUUAUCUUAUAGUAAUGAGCACGUCUAUAAUCAAGAGCUAAAGCAGUCAUUCAUCCUUCGGAGCAGUUCGUUGCUCGGUCGAUUUGCCAUAUAAGUUCUUCUUAUUACCAAGUGCUUUCUAUACAAUACUGUCCAAAUAAUAACAUCCACGCCCAUACGAGUAGAUCUCGCCCAGUAGGAAGGAGUUAGAGAGUUCCGAGUUCGUUGAUUCAAAGCGGCAUACCCGACUAAGGAAAGUCAACCUUUUAGCAGUAUGCGUAUUGAUCAAUUCAGAGAAGAAAGAUGGCAAAAGAAGUGUGCAGGCGAAGGCUAAAGGAAGCUACCCUAUAUAUCAAACCUUUAUAUGCAUAUGCCAGUGAACUGGAAGAGAUAGUAGAGAAAGCCCUUCCAAACCAAUAGAUCGAAAGUACAGAUCUGGAUUUCCUCCCGCCUCUGUUUUACUUGAGCACAACGGAACUGGCCGUUGAAUAGCUUGCUCCUCUUGCACAGGAUCCUUCAAAGAGCAAGAUUGAGCCCAAAGGUAAAAAGAAAGCUUCUACAGAAGUUAAGGCUUUCACUUUGACCGAGCGCAUUAGAUUAGUAUUAGCAAUAGGGUUUCUUCAGCCUUUACCGAGCACAUCGUAGAAUGAAGUAAACAAACAGAGCAUCGCAGGCAGUUUGAUAUCCGAGGCGCUUAGCAGUUCUAUAAAGAAAGGUGCGUUGAGCCUCCAUAUCAGGCUUAGCACUAUACCUUUGAUUCUUAUGUUCCUCUUUCACACCUCAACCACCACCUAAGAGCCUGUGUUCCAUUAUUAGUAUUGCAAUCUUCACUAUUGGACUGCCCUUACUGUCUCUUAAACUGAAGUGAGUAGUUCCUUGGCAAGUCAGAAUGCUAAAUGGUAUCUCCGAGACUGAACUACUUACACAAUAAGGAAAAAGAAUUCUCUUUAGGAUAGAACACCAGCCUUAUUGCCUCAUCCCUUGCUCCAACUCUCACUAGCCCCACUUUGAUCUUUAGCUACUGGCUUUGGUUUUGACUUGUUAUUUGAUUAUUCAAUAAGUUAUUAUUCAAUGAACUAUUCAGUUACACCUAUAUUAUUACGAGAAAACAUAUUCUAAUAUCUGGGCUGGGUGAAAAGAAUAAUGAAACUAAGUAAACAGAAGAACCCAAAUAACAAACAGACAGGAAUGCUAGUAUAUAUUUUCAGGUGGGAACUACCUACCGCACAACUUGUUGUUUGGUGGAUCCGAAUCAGCAGUCACAGAAUUGAAGUUAGUAGCACGGGAACGAAAGCAAGGGACACAUAGGUUGAUAGCAAGGGGAUAGAGAUCCGGACCUGAGACAGUAAAGGAAGGCCAAAAGCAAGUAAAGACUGGUUUGGUUCCCCAAUAGUAGAAGGCUUAGUUUGUGGGAGUUCAGUCAAGAAGUAGUCGCCCGGGUUCGUCUCCUUUAUUCCCUUUGAUGCAGCCCGGGUUGGUUGGUUCUGAAAGAUGGGACUUCAGAAUAAUUACAACUAACCCAAUAUUCUAGUUGUUCUUUACGGCGAUAAGUAUUAGUUUACAUAGGAUAGGUAUCCCUCAUUCAGUUCAUAGUUGCCAUCAAGAGUUCAAUCAAUAGGCUUUCACUUUAGUUGUAUUCUUUGUCGAGAGUGAAGAGGUUCGUAUCGGAGUAGAAGAAUGGAAUGGAAAAGUCGUUCUUGUGAGCCUACCUUUAAGGAUUGCUGUUUCAUCCUUGUUGGAAUAUGAUCUAAACUCCCCACGUAGCUCUGUAAGCCUCUACGUAGUCUAUCUACAUGCUACCUUAAGGUCAAGUAGUCCCUAUCAGUCAGUUAUCUCUAAGAAGGAUGAAUAUUCCUUAUUGUCAAAUUGUACACUUAGAAGUGCUCGCUCUCAUAUCGGAUUAUCACUCUCUCUGGUAAGGGCCUUUUCUCUGACUUUGUCUUAUCUAUCCUCUCUGAGUCGUUUUCAAUCUUGUUUCAGCGGGUGAUAAGUCUGGGCUAAAUCAACCUAUCUCCUCAAGCAUGGAACUCAAGUCAUCGCGUAUGGAAAGGCAGGGUUAGCUUCUUCAAAAGGGUCUUGUCUUGGUGUCCCAGUUCAUUCGGAUUCUCUGAGUGGAGCAUAAAUGAGCCUAGCUUUACUGACCUCGCACCGAACUCUAAUAGCGUCUUGAGAUUAGCCCAAUGCCCACAAUAAAUGCGCUCUGGCAAACCACCUUCUGGUAAUGACUCGAUCUCUUUGUCUGUCGGAGCCCUUUCUUUCUCCCUAACGAAAAACACUUGAUUAGGCCUCUCCUCUGGUCUUCUUUCAUCUUAUAUUAUCUCUUUCUAACGUUGGUCAACAUUUGAUGAACUCGAUAGUGAGAUAUUACCAGAACUUUAUAGAAACACACUAUAUCGAGCUCCAUACAGAAGAUAGUAGACUGCUAUCGGCGGCUAUACUUCGAGCCCCCAUGGUAAUGAGUCACAGGAAGAUGGUAAUGAGUCACAGGAAGCUAGUUCUAUCACUUCUGCCCAAGUUCACUUCAGGCCUAUAUCAGAUAGAAAACACUUUUCAUUGUUUGACAAACCUAAUGGUUUAGAUGAAUGCAACGAGUAUAAGGGCGGCUUUCUGCUCUCCCCCGAAUUGCAAACCAGAACGCUUCGAAGGGCAGUGGUCCAAGGCCUCUCAUAUCCAUCAAUCAAAUAAUGUAGCUCCUUUACUUAUUGCCUGGCGGGUAACUACUAAUCUGGAUUUGAUAUAGUACGCCAGCUCAUAUACUAUCUGGCGAGAACUGGUGCGCUGGGCGAUCUCACUCUCUUCGCUUCGGGAUACUUUCUUUCAAUGGAGCCCGACUACUUCCUAAUCUUGUUAACCUCCGAAUUGAUUGAACAAUCUCCAAUACAUGUAGGUCCAGGGAAGUCUAAUCAAAGGGGGUCUCUUUAGCCGUCAACCGCUCCGUGGGUGUCUAAGCAAAGAUCUUCUCACUUUAUUGCUAUUCCAUUUCCAAUGGACCAUUCUAUUGUGGAUCCACCAUGAUCUUGGACUUCCCUAAGAAAGGCAACUGCAACUUAAGGUCGACAUCUCCAUAUCUCGUUCACUUGUGAGCUCGGUUCGGAAUAGUAUACUUCCCGGGCUGUCAAUGAAAAUAACCCAUUUCAAGAACUUAAGGUGCGCUCCGCCCUGAGAUAGCGCCAACCUCAAGUCAAGCGCUGGCUUUAGCUCCAAUCCUUGAAUGUAGAAAGCAAUGCUUCCAUCUGAUCCACGUUUCCGGGGAUAGCUCUACUGAUUCAAGAGAAGAAAGACAUAAUAUAGGCAGCUUUUGAUUAUCAUGAAUAUUCAGCGGAAGUGGAAUGUUAUAUAUUUCAGCAAUGGCAAUUCUCAUUGGAUCACUUAUUCCUUAUCUUAUUUUUGGAUUACCUUAUUGGAUCACUUAUUCCUUAUUCUUAGAUUACCUUAUUGGAUUACUUAUUCCUUAUUAUUGGAUUACUUCUUCCUUAGUUGUGGGAUCUCUCACGCUCUUCAUUUGACUUGGCCAUCUAGUCGAUACCAGCAAAAAGAUCUCUAAGAUCCUAGUCUUAUGCGCUCGAAAAGGAAAGGAGGCCUAUUUUCAUGUCCAAAGGUGUGUGUGAAGAAAGAAACCUUCUCCACCCACUACGGAAAACAUCGAUUUCCUGUAAAGAUCUUAUCAAUGGAACCUGUACUUCUAGCAUCUUUAUUCACGGGGCUAAGUUCGAGUUACCAACCCUAUUACUAAAGAGUUAGACCUACUUCCUUGUUGGACACCAGACGCGUGAGCCCUGCUCUUUGAAAGGGAGUAACCCGAUGCUUUAUUAUUCCAUUUCUACUUACCUCGUCUCGUCUUCUCUUCUUCCCUCAAACAUCUGCAGAUCUGAGUUGAGUGCUUCUCUGUCGAAAGAACAGAUUCAUUGUUGGAAGCUAAUUCUUCUUCUCGCCGCCUUGUCUGUACACCAAUGCCAAUGGCUAAUUCUGCUUUUUCAUCCUGGAGCGAGUUAGCCGUCGCUUUUUCUUCUUUUACUUUACCGAGCCGAGCCAACCACUUUGCUCUCGUAUGCCGAGCCAACCACUUUGCUCUUGUAUAAAGAAUUCCUUCAUAGAACUGAGCUACAUACUCCCUAAGACUUAUGGAAAGCACAGACAUCCUUCCCUAAUACUUAGUGAAAGCCCAGAGAAUAACUCAUUUCAUAUUCAUUUCAAUAUGGAUUGUAAACAAAUGCUUUUCUACCAGAAACAGAUCCGAGCUCAUCUCACUAAGGAACAAACAGAAAAGAGUAAACGCGCCAUAGCAUAGACUCAAAUCCAGAGCCAUCAGACACAAACGAACAGAGCAGAAAAGCCACUAUAAAACAAAACAGCAGCCCAGAAGCCGAACUCACUGAUAGAGUAAACGAGGAAACAGCAGCAACACAAUCACUUAUUUCUACUGCAAUACCGGAUAUCGAGGGAGAGAUCAGCGCUACCACGCUUUUAGCUCCUGCCGCUCUGAACUCGCUACCGUGCCUAACGAGGCUUGGUCAUUAGCAGUGCCUUGGCGACCUUGUCUAGUAUACGCUUGGCCAUUUCUGUAUUCUUUGUUCGCUUGCGCGGCAGGGCCGCUCUUCAUGCACCUCUUUUCACUCUGUCUCCCCUUUCUUUAAGACUCGCUCUAAGACUAGGAUCCAACUUUCACUGACCUGGCUAGCGAAUAGAAUCAACAAUCUAAUAAGUGCUGACUUGACUGAUCUUGAUGUAGUCUUUUGAAAGCCUUAGCCUUGCUAGCACGCCCCAACACAGACCGAGAACUGUCUAGCCGGAGUUGUGUAAUUGAGAUGAUUCUUUGAUGUGUUUGUGUUUACGAACGAAUAGUCCACAUCCGAUGAUCCACAUAUUCUUUUUCUGUCCUUAAAGAUUGGCGUUGGGUGGUUCAUUCCCGACGUCACAUCCCUUCUAGCCGUUAUUCGUGAUUGAUAUGGUGCCUGUAAAUCUCUGUCUGUCCUAUUAAAGCAAGAAAAAAGAGUCGAAUGGGAAGUCAAGUCAGAAGGGCGCACUACCCAGUACUACCUUCUUGAGCUACACACUCCUUUAAGGAAGUUAUUGAAGGAAGGUAAAAGUACUUGCGCGGAAAAGAAGUAAAGCAGGCAGCCCAUCUCAAUGGAGUAGAAGCGGGCCUUCGCUGGACCAAUCCACUUUUCUCUCUAUCGUCUCGAGUUAGAGCUAGUCUAGUAAUCCAAAGAGAAGCGUAUUCCCCAGAAGUGGAUAUGAGUAACCUAGAAGUUGGCAAUCCAUUGAAGAUUGUCAGGGAAGUUCCGGCGAGCAAUAAUUCCUGUCUAGAAGCUGGUGCCAUACGAGUAAUAAACCAGCUGUAACCGUUUUGGGUUUCCCCUUUAUUUCCCAUAAGUCUGCCAUACGAGUAUACCAGAGGGGGGAGGUAUUGAGUUCUGAUGCUUCCUAAACCCUAAGCUAGGCGAAUCAAUAACAAAGCAAGACGACUUUCCCUCAGUACGGGCCAUAACCGAAGUCAGAAGGCUUUCAAUCCAAUAUGGUACGCGGUGCUUAUCAAAUCAAAAACCAUCCCUUCCAAGUGAGUUAGAAAGGUAAGAGUCUUUUACCUACCUAGUAUCACUUCUAACUUUCUAAUAACUAAUAAGAAAAAGAAGAUAAUAAUAAUAAGAAUUUUCUAAGAAGCGAGAGCGCACCUCGAGAAACUAGUCUCCGAUAAUAGAUUAAGCAGUACUAAAGGUAAUGGUUGUAAGCUGAUGGAUGGCCGAGUAAAGAACCCAGAUAUUAUAAGGGAGACCUUUACUUUGGUUCAAGGUAGCUAAAUUCAUGUUUCAUGAGGACCAGAAAGAAGAAGGUAAGGGAUAUUGGAAAAAGAAGUAAUGGAUUCCGCAAUACAAAGAAGUUGGAAGCUGUUUCAAAAUACGGCAGAUCUGGUGUGACAAGGGCGUGCUCUUCUAUUGAAGGAAGACCAGAAACGAAACAGCUCUCUUUGCUUACUAUGGAUCUCUUACGUGUAACAUUCCUUGCUUUGACUUUUACGAGCCAAUUGGUUGUUUACUGGUUCCGGUGCUUGGUUGUAAGAGUGGUGAGCUAAGGAUUGGUUGUAAGAGUGGUGAACUAAGGGUGAGCUAAGGAUUGGUUGUCAGAGUGGUGAGCUAGCUAGAUAGUUACCACAAAUAGCCCCUUUGAUGAAUUAGUCCUGGGUUUCGGUGACUUUCGAGUUGAGGCAAUCAGGUCUUUGCUAUUCGGCAAGGAACGGGCCAAGGGCCAAGCAACGAGGCAAGUCAUUCCGGUCCUCUACUAUUGGCUCAUAGCAAAUGGGGAAUAUCUCCGCGGAUCUUCUCUGGCUACAACUACUUAUUGAACUACUCGACUACGGGUUGGGUAUUCCACUCGCCAACUACAGGCUAGGCUCUGUCACAAUAAUUCCAUUCAUAAGAAUUCCACUAGCAACUAUCAACUCAACUACUUGCUUUAAGAAAAGAGUCUUGUAAGCAAUUCCACUCUAACUCUAACAGUAUCUUUUCACUCAGGCUCAUCCACCGGGGAGUAAACUAAUACUUCUUGAAACAAGCUGCUGGCAACUCUGACCAUAAAACCGAAUCUGGUAAAGAAAGGAAGCAUCAAUCCUAACCUGUUCCUUUGUUUGAUACCUGAAUUCUUACUUGCUGAAUGAGGCUCUCCAAUCUAUUCAUUCUGACUUUCCUACUUGAUAUCGUAGAAUUUAUAUCUUUUGUACUAUAUCUUAUGAUAGGAUCUGGCCAAGUCGACAACUAGUUGAAUUCACCAAGCAACAGUAGGAGUGAGUUCCAAAGUUCACUAUACUAGUCUCAGAAAGCGGGUAUCUCGGGCUAAAGUCUGCUAUUAAGGUAUAGGUCGACAAGGUGCUUCAAGCCUAUGUCUUUACUGAGUGUAAGAAAGGUGCUUCAAGCCUAUGUCUUUGAAUUGAACUCACUGGUUACCUCGCCUCUGGUAUUGAAGUGCAGAAUUGUAAUUCAGAAUUGUAAUUAUUAUUGAUGAGCUCGAGCACCCAUAAUGGAGGAAUGUCAUAACACACAUAAUGAAGGAAUAUCAAUACACAGCUUAUGCUCCCUAUAAGAGAUAUAAGUAACCAAACAACGCAUUGCUUUAAUCACUCAUAUCGGCACCCACCCGCAACUCUAGUCAGAAUUAGCACAACGGGCCAAGUAACAAACAACUAAGCUCAUAGCAAAUAGAGACACAGGUAUAAGAAUUAGGCUCCGGGUACAGUCUAGCGCUGGCUCAUUGCUUUUGUCCAAAACUCCCUGCCGCGCCGUAACAUAACUCCUGCCGCUAGUGUCCAUCAUCCGCUCUUUCCACUCUAACGUUACUAGAGGCCGGGGCAGAGUCCUGGGAUAGGAUCCUCAAAGUAGUGGUCCAAAGAGUAUCUACUGAAGUCGACCUAGACCUCGCAAACAGGAAUUGACUCUUUUUCUUACCCUGAUUACCUGCUUCCAUAUGAUCUCGGCUCGGGUAAUCUGAAAUUCUAUUCGGAUAAUGCGCAGAGCCCACUCAAACAUCAAUUUAUUAGCUGUAUGCUCUGUAACCUAGGACUCGGAAUUAAUUGAUUAUCGAACACCAGCUAUAGAACUAAGUAAAGAUCUAACUCCUAAUUCUGUUGAAACUACUGAAGAAGCGGACUUACUUUCGCCAACAGCUGUCAUUGAACUUGCUUGCUCUGCCCGCGUACCUUGACUUUAUUCUUACCUGAGCCCUAACUCGAUACCCGGACUUUCUACUUCACCUUGAAACCACUCACUACUAUCCGAGUCAAGAACUGAUAUCUAUGAUUCCACUCUUACUGAAAGACACUUUACUUCAGUACUUAUGGCUUCCAAGUAAGUCGAACAAAGGAAUGGAAUUGAUCACUUAAGUCCAAGUCGGGUUGGUUGACUUAACCCUGUUCCAAUCGUUCCAGAGAGGUUCAAAAAGCAGCAAUGAAUGAUGAGUUGACUGAAGCGUUAAGUAUUACCCAAUCAUUCCAUUACAGAGAGGUGGCAUUCCAACUUCAAUUCCAAUUCAAAAGGUGCACUUUAAGAACGAGAACGUCUUGUAGCUUCCUUUACGUACCCUGACUUUGAAUCGAAAACUCUACUUAUAUUGGAAUAUACUACCAGAUUUUCAUCUACUGCUCUCUCUGCUCUAUCAGCUUCCUUUCCUCGCACCGUCCCGGCAACUACAACAAACCCUUUCAGUAGUGGUCAAAAAUGUACUGUGGAAUUGGAAUAAUACUAAAUACAUACCCUUACAGUAUAAUGAAGAGCAUGCUCAUAUUCAAUUGCAUCUUGAACAACCAAUCCAUGAAGAAAGCAAAGGAAACAAUGAAGCCCCUGCGCAAACAAGAACACUUGAAAGCUCACUUGAACUUGGAGAUCGAGGCUUAUUAACCACCGAGAAAGGACAACUCAUGAAAAUAGUCCUUUGCCCUACCCCCCUUGUAUAGAAUUUAGUAAAUAUAACUUCACUUGCAUUGCGUUCAAAAAACCUGCCUUUAAUAACCCUAGUCCUUUCCAUUUGUUCUUUGCCAUCAUUACCCUAAAAUAUAGGUUAGUUGGCAAAAAUUCCAUUGUAACUGGGACGCUCUCUCUGGGCCUUGUAGAUUUGUUUAAUGUAGCGGCGUGGGGGGGCCUUUCAAUUCUCUCUAAGCCGAGGGAAGACCCUUUCCCAUCCAUGUAGAUGCUUUCGACCCCUUCUCACGUCUUUGUUGGCGAGUGAGUCAAGAAGCCCAACUUUACUUAAUAAUGCUGAAGCGCGGUCUACUUCAUACGAGUCUCUUUGCUUUCUUUGGAUUGGGUGCUAAAUCCGUUCAUUCCGUUUCUGUUCUCGUUGGCUUACGUGAAGAAUAUCUACGAUAGAAACAAGCUUAGGCAGCACAUACAUGACUAAGAGCUAACGACGGAGUUAUCAGAGUUCCAACAAGCUUAGGGUAGGAGAGUUCUUCCUGUCUUUAGCGCGUAAGGGAAAAGGGAGUUUUCAAUGAAACAAAACCAGGCGAUGCUUGUCAAGAGAUUCCAUUCUUUCUUCAGACAGUUGAGAGUCAAGAAAAGGGCGACGAGAGAGAUAGGUUUAUGUUGACAGUGGUAUUGUCGGUUCAGAAAUCAAGUAUAUAGUGAGGGGAAUUCAGAAAUCAAGUAUAUAGUGAGGGGAAGAAUAAAGAGAAAGUACUGGUUAAGCGAGGGCAGCUUUAUAGAUGCCUUGAGUUUAGUCUCUUUGUGUUCUUGUUCCUGAUCUAAGCUGUAUAGCUAACAAAGCGUACUCAUAAAGUCAAGGGCCUGGCCGACCCGGUUCAAUAAACUCCUUUAAGCGCUUCCUUUCAAGAAGGCAGGUACACGCCAAACUAAUGUUAACGCUAAGGAAUAUUGCUUGGGUGAACUCCCGCUUGAAAAGAAUAUAACUCUCCUCCAUUUGCUUGAAAAGAAUAUAACUCUCCUCGUAUCUAUUAAGUGCGGAACCAUAACAACCAUCUAUUCUAUAAGGUCAGGUGCUGAAGGAACCAUCUAUUCUAUAAGGUCAGGUGCUGAAGGAACUAUCUAUUCUAUAUAAGGUUUUGUAGUUGUAGCUUGCACUUAAUUAACCCUGGGCUGGAAAUGGAACUGAUUGUUCCCGCCUGCCUGCCUCCUUGUCCACGAGAUCCAGAGCUUUAGAUUCCAAGUCAGUAUCUAAAGGUUGCAGUAACAGGGACCUGUCCAAUCUUCAAUAAUUAAUGGAUUCUAACCUUCACCGAGCUUACCCGCUACACCUUAUAGUAUUAUAGAAACAAAGUCAUAUUACCUGCAAACAGAUCUUGCUUCUUAUGAUUCUUAUGAUUCUAUCGUAGACUUCACUUUAACUACACUUCCUGCUCUAACUGCUUCCGCUGCUGAUGAUUCUGUGUUGUUGAUGUAAACCUCCCUUUGGCUUCUAAACAAAUAGUUUCUACUGCGCUCUUGCUUUAAACGCUAUCACUUACUGCCUCCGUCUGGCUAAUGAUUCUUUUUAUUCCCGGUGCUCUAGAGUUAUGAGCAAGUCUGUAUAGUUGACUUUACUCGAACAGCUGGUUCUGUUGGUUAUGAUGCUACUCAUACUUUAGAUCCUAUUCUUACUGAAGGAAGACCAAUACUCUGCCAUCUACUAAUGUCUCUGCUCUACUUGACUUGAUAACAGCUUCUAUAUAGGAUUACUAAGGUCAAGCGCCAAGAACGGAUCUCUAAGAUGAAACAAGAACCCCAUCUGCUUGAGAUCCCAAUCUAUCUGUGGCCUAUGAUCCAUAUCUUUAAACAAGAACUGGCACUAUAUACUUUACUUCUGCAGUUGAUCAUUCAAAAGGUUAACUACUAGUUUGGUCUGGACCUGGCAAUACUUAACGCUAAAUAUGUACUAGAUUCGUCGGGAGCUCUACUUGAAGGGUUAAAACAGGACAGGAAUAUAUCUUUGUUAGCGCAAAGGAAGAAAACUGGAAUAUUUCUUGUUCCGAGUCAACUCUUCGAUUCAUUUAUUCACUGGAUGUUAUAUGAUCUAGGAAUUGAAGAGCUACAGUACAUUCUCCCCUUGCGAUAUCCUCUUCUUUUAAAGAAAGAUUCUACUAAAGAUUCAACUCAACCUCGCAAGUACUACCGGGAUGAUCUCUACGCCCUAACUAACCCUGCUUUGCUUCUUUAUAAGAUGAAACUCGUGGUGCCGAUAAGGAUUGAUGCAAUCGGUAACUCUGCUUCAUUCUUCUCUGUAAACUAAUACAUAAGUAGUUAACACCUCUGUAAGUAAGCAUUCGAUUCGGCUUCGGCUGAUGAUCCUUUUUAUGCUCCUGCUUAUGGUUAUCUACCACUUGCAUCUUUCUCUUUUCUCGGAGACUACACUUCUUACUGGAACUAUGUAUUAGUAAGUAUUCGCUAGAUCUAUCCUAGGGUUUCUUAGUUAUUAAAGGAAUGCGCGUAGAGGCGAGGUGGGCAAAGAAAUCCAAUAAGUUUCACAAGGCUAAGCUGCGGUCGACCACUACUCGGUAAAGCCUUUCACUCCUGGCAAGCUACGUAUACAAAGGUGAAAUUCUGUCCCUGCCCCAGUUAAUCUCAUCUAUAGGUCUAUAAGCUUGGUUGCUCCUGACUUUAAGAAUUAACGACCCUGUUUUUUAGUUAUGACCGGCCAGUCACUACGUAAAGAGAUAGAGAUGCUGCUCCUGCUCCGUCAAAGUAAAGAGAUAGAGAUGCUGCUCCUGCUCCACCAGAUUGAGAGGUUGUCAACUAAAGUUUAGUUAGCUGAGAAAGGAGACUGAUAGCAGAUAGGAUCGGGUAGCUUAGAGAGAAGACAGACUCCGUUUAUAUCCUCUUACAUCUUUAACCCUGCAUUAAGAGGCGAGGCAGAAGCAAUUGUAAACUCCUUAUACAACAAAGUAAGGAGCCCUGCCCCAUUCAGUGGAAAAGUGUUGUUUCGGGUGUCAGGAAAGCAGUCCGCCUCUAUCAGUUCGAAGAAAGUCUCUAGUUGUUUGUCCCCUUGGCGGGGGGCGAGUAAACGUUCUUCUAUAAUAAGAGUGGAAAACGGAAGAAUCAAACCAGGGCAAGCGACUACUAAAAAGGCAAAUAAGGUCAAUUGCUGACUUUUGAACUCCAAUACCGGAUUGAGAAGUCCUCUCCUUGCGCUAACAAACUAAGAUACAGAUCAAACUAGGGGCCAAUCAGACAAGCAGCUAAUAAAGAAAGGGGAGAUACCAUUGAAUCUAAUAGCAGAGAGGAGCCGAUACUUCUUUCAACAAGCCCUGCAGCUGGCAACUAUUAAAAGAAAUGAGGCUCAGUUGCUUGGCCCGGAGUUCUAAUUGAGCCCUGCUGUCUCUGCUUCACCUAUUCCCGCUGGCAAUUAUAGUAGAAGACCAUUAGUGGGGAUAUCCAGAGUAGAAGACCACUUCAUUGAAUGAAUACUAUCNNNNNNNNNNNNNNNNNNNNNNNNNNNNNNNNNNNNNNNNNNNNNNNNNNNNNNNNNNNNNNNNNNNNNNNNNNNNNNNNNNNNNGAGCUGGAGACUUCACUGCUGGAGCACCCGGCUUCUUCUCUUGAAACUUUCCACUUAUGAUUCUGUUGUCGAUGUAGACUUUCUUCGCCCAGCAAGAUGUUAGGAAGAAAUGCACUCAGUAGUAACAGUAGGAUAAAAGAGGUAUACCGAAUGAAGUGAAUAGGCUAGAGGCUCGGGUAGGGAGAAGAUAGUCAUAAAUAAGAGAGGUGAGCAAGGGAACCAGUUGCAUCAACCCAAGGAAUGGAUUCUCGAGCACCUGUUAUAGAAUGAAGUAAUCUUACACCUCUUACAGCAGAUGUGGUUAGUGACUUAGUUCCAAGAGCCAGAGAAGAGGAGACCCUAGAUCGACUCCGAUAAGAAUAUAGAAAGAGAAGAGGGAUAGAUCGACUCCAAUAAGAAUAUAGAAAGAGAAGAGGGUCUAGCGCAUAUAGAAUAUCUGAAUUCUUCUGAAGCACUAACGGAGUGAAAAGAGCCAGAGGGAUGGAAGCCAGCUGCUUGCUUGUGUUGAGAUGAGCAAGAGCAGAGGUGUUACCAACCGACAAGAGCAACUCCCUUAAGUAGACAAAAGCAAGAGCCUAUCUUCUACUCUUAAAGCUAGAUCAUAAGCAGUUGACAGAUAAUAAACAGAUUCCUAUGAUUUCCAGUUGAUUGGCGAGUUCAAUCCGAGUUUGUUGACGUUGAAAUGCCCUAGAUCAGACAUAUCCCUACUCAUACCAGCCCUAGGGUUAGCAUACCGUUUUCUUACUUGAUGAUUUGAUUAUGCCUUUCCUGGACCCACAUCUUAGUUUAGAGAAAAGUCCUAUGCCCUAUGCCUUAUGCCGAGUCCUAUUAAUGAUACUAGUAAUUCUUUAUUCUGAGUUCGGAUUCUUACUUAUUUAGUUUGAUUCCCUUGAUUGCGCUUAUGGCUCUUGCUUUCCCUAUAAAGAUGCUUUCCCAAGAAAUAUGCUUUCCUAAUAAAUAGAUUAGUCCAAAUGUCACUCUAACAUAACUGUAGGGGUUUGGAUAGCUAUUAGGAUACUCAAACUAUCAAUGCAGAAUAAAAGCUAGAGUCAAAGAAUUGAUAGCAAGCAAUAGGCAUAGGUAGAAUCAAAACCACUUAGUUGCAGAAGAAUCGAAGUGGAAACAAAGGCGCCUAUAAGGCUCUAACUACUGCUUCUAGGGCUAUACUUUACUUAGAAUCAAAACAGUGCCUACAAGGACUGAACCAAAUAGCAAUAAACUCCUCCGCGCUUUAACUCGCUGACGCCAAGCUCAUCAGCCGAAUACAACAGAGAGAAAAACAAAUACAUAAAUACCGAACUUCUCACUUAUUAAUAAAUAUACAUAUUCUAAUAGGAUAAUAAGAAGAAAGAUAAGAAUAAGGAAUGAAAAGAAUAAGCAAAAGAAAGGGACGAUAUGCUAUAGCGCGCAUAGAGAGAUAGAACCAAUCUCAUAAUAAUAAAAGAGUGCAAACAGUGCUUCCAAUACUAGUUCCUAUAACAAGGAAGUCACUGGCCGGGAGAAAAGAAUGGAACGAACCGGUGCUUCUCAGACCGGAGCUACUGCUAACAAGAGAACUGCUAAUACUUUGUAGAAUUAAGCUCAGACCUAUAAGAAUGAUAACACUACCUAUUAGAAUGGAACCGGGGCUUCUCAGACUGAAGUUGGGAGACCCUUUAAUGAAACUUGCAACUAUCAGAAUCGAGCUACUGACAAACAGGCUUACUUUGAUGGUUUUGAUUCCCGUAUCUAGGGGAGAGCUUGAACUCUUCCGCUACUAUAUGCGAGAUACUUUCACUUUACAUCUAGAUCCUUGCUUUGCUGUCUCUAGGCCUGGCACUGCUUACUCGCAUUCUUCCUUCCUACUUUCAUUAUUGAGGUUGCCCAUACCAUUCAUUUCUCUUAUGUUAUUAUCCAAAACUCAAAUCUGUAUUUCACUAUCAGGUUUCCUGUCUUCCAUUCUUGUCGAGGGUAACAAGGUAGACUGCCCCUCGUUAGUGGUAUUCCCUUAGUAGUAUUCCCAUUCUCGUGUUUAAACCUAGAACACUCCCUAAGAAAUAACAAACUCACAAUACUUGCUUAAAGCCCGCCACUACUAACUAUAGGUCUGUUGCUCAUUAGCUUCAAACCACCACUUCCUCGAUCUCGUUCUCAUACUAAUUACCUCAAUACUUUCAUCCUAUAAUAGGGAAGAAAACUCAUAAGUAAGUAUAUCGGUCUACACUACAAAGACCUAUAAGACCAAUAAGAAGGAGGUGAACCACUGCUUCCUAGUAAGCUCUUCCUUUAUCAUAGCCCACCCUACCGGAUCUAAAAUAUCUGUGAACUUUUUAGACUGUCUGUCCUUGAUUGAAACCUAUAACUACUUACUUCGAACCUCGCCCCUAGGCUUGACUUUCCUUUUAUUGGAUUAGAGGCUCACUUUAUCCGCUUUAAACCUAGCGCUACCGCCUACUAGUCUACCUCUCCUUCCUCUUAUUCUUAUUUCAAUGGGGGAUUCUCUCUAUUGAUGAGAUAUAGCGUAUACGGGAGAGAAUCAAACAAGUAAGGCAAUUACGGGAAUGAAAUCACUGCUAACAAGAUAGGAGCAAGCAAUAGGGAAUUACACCGCUGACUAAAAGACUGCUUUUCCUACCACUAAGGCUGCCAGCUAUUACUAUGAUAAAAGCCCUACAGCUAAUAAGGGGCGAGCACGGAAUACAGACUGACUCAUAGAAUACCGAGUUAAUCUCAAUACUACCGAUAAAACUUACUCAACUAACUGGGAAAUAAACUACCUACCUUGAAGCUAUACUGAUUCAUUGACUUCUGUUUCGACUAAAACUCCCUUUUCUUAGUAUAUGCUUGGCGAAGUCGUUUAUCAUCUUUGUUUCUCAAUUCCUUAAGUUUGAAGUCAACUCGAUUCUUUAGUUCACUACCGGUAUUCAACUCUAUCACAAGGAGCUAGAGCACCAACCCGAUACUUUAUAUCUUUAGGUUGAUACCUUCCCUUCCUUAGUAGCGGCGGUGAACUUGUCUGCUUGCCUGCUCUAAUUACUAGAAUCAAACUACAGGAAUUACAAUAAUCAAACAAAUAGCAAAUAUCAUAUGAAAACACACAUAUCAGUAUAAUCAAUAUCAAUAAACAGAAUAAGAAAUAUACGUCAAAAGAAUCCCCCUUGGUACGAUUGAAAAGAAUAGCGCAAGUCAUACUCCAACUAACAAAUAUGGCCCGUACCCAACAAGCAAUCAGGCUUUAUCCACCUUGGAAAGCGACCUUUGAACUCAAUCUGGAUUCUGCUUGUCGGACUUGUUCUGUGUCUUUACAUCAUUUUCUACUCAACGAGCAUUAACCAUAAGUGGCAAACGAGAAUGGACUGAUUGAGUAGUGGUCGACCUCUGGAACAACAUUCUCACACGUCACUGAUUGUUCCGCUCUAGCACCAAGCAACGGAGCAAGAAAUAAGAGGUAAAUAAGCCAGGGUAUAAAGUCAAAGUGGCCUUAGCCAGCUCCAGACUCGUUUGUGAGUUCCAGACAAGCCGUUACGCAUUCAUUAGUUUACCUUACAGGAUUUUAGCGUUGAGUAAGCUUUGUUUACUUACUUAUUGAAUGAAAGUCAGCGGGUUAGAAAGGACACUAGAAAUCUGGGUAUAAAGCUGGUUCCGGAAAUCUCUCUAGGUAGAAAGCCCGGAGUAGUGGUAGGUUCAGGAAAGAAUAAGGGCCAAGCAUACAACUCACUACUUAGGAAUGGGAUUUUCAGACAAUAACCCAUGUGUUCAGCAAGUAGUCAAAGGUAAGGUAUAGUUCGGUGCUCUAGUUUCAUCCCGCCGAGCAACCACAUAUUAGCUAAGAAUGGAGUGGAAGGGUUUCCGUUUUCCAGUUUUCAUUUCUGAAUGGAGUUUCCGGUAUGUUAAAUAAGAAUACCAGAAUAGAGCUUUCAACCGACAAAGUCUGAAUUUCAACCUCAACAUGAAAGCUAGCCAGAGUCGAGAUAGGUUCGGGAAGCAAUUCCAGUUAUUACCGAGUCUUGCUUUCGGCGUCAGUAGAAAUAAUAGAAUAGCAGCUCUGCAGGGCGCUGAAGACAUAAGGCCACUACUAGGAAAGCAUACAAAGGGAAAGCAAGCCAAUAAAGCUUAGACAAUACAAGCGCUGCCACUGAAACGUAACUCUCUGAAUCGAUUGCUGCUAAUGGACUUUAUACAACACCACCUAGGUUAGCUUACUCUUUCAUUGUUUCUUCUCGAGUAGCAAAGACAUCUUACUUGAGAACAGAACAAGCUAGGGCUUCUUGACUUCAUAACUUCAUACGUAAAGCAAACAUGCCACAAACUCCACCUUUUCGCUUUGAGCGUGAAGGCAGGCCAAUCAGAUAAGACCUUUUGCUAACUCGGGUAAACUCAAAUGAUAGGGAAUCACUUAAACGUAUUCCAAAAUAGAUUCUUCCCGAACUCAAUCCACUGUUGGCGACGAGUAAGCUGCUAUAAGGUAUGGAUAAACAAGGUAAGGGUCAUAUUACAACCUAUAUUACUAUUCUGAUUUCCUUACUCUUACUACUUCGCUUGCAGUUGCCUUUCGCCUUCCUUUCUUCUUAAAGGAGCUGUUUCCUCUCUCGCAGACUAAGCUCGAGUUCCGCUCUGCUCUUGACUUCGCCUUUGCUCUGCUCUAAAACAUAUGAUUGCUGUAUAUACCUAACAAAACUGUGAAACUCCAUUUAUGGGCUCUAAUCAAGUUCUUGCAACAGAGCUAGUGGUAUAGAUACAGGUCUGAUUACUCCUUUAUAUACUAGCUAGGGCAAGAAAGAAAGAACCGAUAGUAAGACUAGUAAAGCAUCCAUUCUGAUUCAAAGUCAUUUCACUAAUAGGCUCAAAGUAUAGAACUUAUAUAAGGAGCUACUUCAAAGCAGCGCAGCUACGCAGUUUUUUCCCUACUCAAACACGCUCUAACCCUAUCGCUUUGUAAACUCCGCUCCCUAUCUUAACUAAGAGAGUCUAUUCGAACCCAAGGAUUCGCAGCAACGACACUUUCCUUUGUUUUAUAGGCGCGAGUCACUUACUUAGCUUUUUGCUAGAUUUGGUUAUUCAUAAAUUCUUUCAAAAAACACAAAGAAGAUCGAACUGCAUGCUUAUGCUUCCUUAUGUAUCUAGUUUUGCUAGGAAGUGAAAACAUACUUAUUUGGCUAAGAAGCGCCAUGAGUCAAAUCAUUAUGCAGAGUAGGGAAGUGUUUCCGCGAGGAAGAAAGCCGGAAUAGUGCGCGGAUCCUUCUUUCUGUCUAUAGUUGGAAGACAAGAGAGCAAGGGAAUCACUAGUUCCAUGGGUCACCCGAAUCCGAGUAUACCUAGCAAACAGCCAACAGAUCCUUCUACUUCGGUAACAGAGGCAAAAUGGUUAUGGAACGCAUAAAGCUUCUUUUUUCUUUUCAUGGCUUUUCUUUAUAACCCACUUUUUGUGCCUCCCGUCAUAAGACAGCCGGCCGAUACGAAAGAUUGACUUAGGGGCCAUAGCCUGUUUGAAUAGAAUCGGAAACUACACCGCUCUAUCGCUACACCCGUCUUUGCCCGCUACACCUGAUCAGUUUACUUACUUAAGGACUCUUACUUAGCUAACGUGCCCCUUUGUCAAACAGGAAACAAACUUCCUAUCUACUUCUGCCGGGUUGGUUGCUAGGUUUCCGAUCUACUUCUGCCGGGUUGGUUGCUAGGUGGCGGAGAUGGCAAUUCUUUGUUCGUGCAUGUGGUCUGACACAGCCCCGUGCCGGGGUAGGAGUCGUUUUCCAUGACUAUGACUCCUAAAUAACAGUCCAUCAUAAGACUAUUCCGGGACUACUUUCAACGAGAUCUAGUGGAAUUUAGGAUAGGGUCAGUAAACUCAUCAUUUCUAUACCCCCAGGGCCAAGCAACGUAGACAAAAUGGAGUAGUUGUGCGGCAGGCGUGAAACUGUGUCCGGGAGCUCACUUACCCUACUUUCUCCUAACUCGUCAAUACUUCCGCGCUGAGUCUUUCUCCAAAGUCCAUUUCUUUGAUUUCACUGAUGCCCUAUAACCAUAGGAAUUCAUUGAAUCUUUCUUGUCUUGUGCCGCUCCGUUUGCUUGUUCACUUGCUGGAAUUGAAACUAAGUAAGCGAUUUACCCCAAGAAGAAGUAAGCUUAUGUGUAACGAACGGCGAGGAAAACAUCAAUCUCAAUUUCAAUUCGACAGAUGUUCUAUAUAUGAGGAAUAGAGGAGCUCCUUGCUUAACUUAAUUGUCAGCUCCGUAAGUGCCUUUCAAGCAGGAAUCUAUCUUGCACCUAGUAAAACAGUCCAAAAUGAAUAUGAUUUUCUCUAAUGUAGUAGGAAUUGACCAGUGGGGCACUUAUUGAGUCUUUCGAGCUUCGAGCUCCCUUGCUUGUUGAAUGAUAUUUCACUUAUUUUAUAUCUCUUGCGCACAUACCCUAUAUGAAUGAGAGGAAUGUAACAGCUCUAAACUACAUCCGUUAGCACUUUCUUUGAUCAACGAGCUUAACAUCAACUGGGUAUUCAUGGCGGCAGGAGUGAGAACUGGGAGUACUGCUCCUGUUCUGGAAACAAGGAUACAGGUUCGGUGCUUGUGUGAAGCUAUGAGGGUAAUGUCCAUUUGAUAGUUCAUUAAGUACGGAGUUGUGCCUAGUAGGGGUUGGGUUCUCUACUCCAUGUGUUCAGCAAGUAGUCAAUUAUGUCUUGUGGUAAAGUCGACAGUUGUAGCUUGGCGUGUUUCAGUUUCCGAAUGAUUUGUCUUUGUUGACCACUCGAAAGAAGAAAUCAAAGGUUUACAAGGCGUAAGAAAGAUUCCCGCGUGAGUUGGGCACUUCAGCGCAAACAAGUGAAAGAGAUCUGUAUUUGUUGCUCUUAUAUUAUAGCCACUAACUUAAUAAUAUGGAGCAGAAAGAAUAAGGAGCUGUGGGAGGAAAGUCUACUUUAUAAUAACUAGGAAGCCGAAGAUGGAGCAAGUAAAGAAGCAGCCUCAGGAGCUGGGAUCGAGAUCAGAAUAAGGAGAAAGAUCUGCAUCAGAGGCAGUACGGUAGGGUUCACUCGCUAAUGAAAAAGAGCAAGCAGUAAGGUCACUUUCUUCUAUAUCAGGUGCUCUCGACAGUGAGAAUUUUAUGGAACAGACAAACAUACGAAAACAGGACUUGCGCAAGUUUCAAAUCAUUGAAUGGAUGCGCCCCGAUAAAACAAUAUUAAUAAUCUUGAUUCUUAUUCUCAUUAUUGCUCCGUUGCUCGUGGAUACUCUAUUUCAGGUAUAUACUCUAUUUCAGCGCUCUAAGUCGUCGGUUCAGUUCAGUGAAGGUGCAGGCGCUUAUUUACUUGUGUGAAACGAAGAAACUCUGUUAGCGCAAUAAUCAACGUGUUCUCUUGCUUGUUUAUUUGUUCCUAAUACUUUAUCUAAUUCUUUACGCUUAAGCUUAUUUGCUUUAAUAAGACCCCACCUAUGCUUCUCGCCCUGGAUCCUAUUGCUAAUGCAGAUCUUGUGUCUAGUCUAAGGCUUAAAACCAGACUUGCUCCUUACUCACAGCUUUGCUUAGACUGCUUCCCUUUCUUAUGAAUCAGCCUGAACUUUAAUGCUUGGACACUGUUUCCCUCUCUUUGGAAUCUGAUCCGGAUCCUAGCUUAUGAAACUGCUUAUACUGACUUACUUUCGCCAAACACCAGUCAUUGAACUUGCUUGCUAUGAGGAGUCUCUCAGAUUGCCCGAACUCCCAUACAAUAAGCAAUGCUCGAACUACUUCUUCUAGAGUCUACUUUCCAUCUUCAGAUCCGGACUCUGUUUGGGUGGGCCUCUGAUCUAUAUCUUUCUUUUUCUUCUUGACCAUACUCUAUAUGAUACUCAACGAGCUUGGGAAUUCAAUAAUUUCAUAAUGGUCAAUGUAACUGACCUUACUUUCUUUCUGCUUAACCGCUCUGUUACGUGGGCAGAGAGCUUCAUUGGGUGACACGGAUUUCUCUCCCGCUGUGCUGACUUUCGCCUCUUCUUAUCUAUCGUGGACAACAACACUGGAACCCGAAACUUUGGAUCUUAUCUUAGAGACUUGACAAGCACCGUUCCGGCAUAGAUAGUAAGGAACUCAAUUCAAAAGAGAAAGGUUCGGUGCUUUAGUGGUGGAGGCUCAUCUACCUUUUCAUAACUAUUGAUUGCCCCUAGAUUGAAGUUGAACUAGACAGUAGUGAGUGACUGAAAACUGGAAAGAUAGCUAAAGUCAACGCUGCUGUUUUCCAAUAAGGGCUUUCCCACUAAUAAACUACUCAAUUCAGUAUUUCUCUUAUUAGAAGAUAUAGGUUCCACAAGAACAGGAGCUGUACUGCAUGAAACAAGGGAUUCGGCUCGAACAGAAAGAUACUCUAAGCCAAUAACUAUAUCAUUGCUUAACCGACAACUAAGGGAAAGCCAAUCACGGAUCUUGCAACUUCAACCAGAAUUCCGGACUCUAAUUACUCUGCUAUUUAUUCCCUGGCUUCUGAACUUACUGAUGCGGACUGACUCUGUGGAUGUGGAUGCUAACUCUACAGAUGCUGACGUAACAAGUUUCAGUGCUAAGGCGAUCUUUAUUCCGAUCCGUAUUCUGUGCCUGUACUCUCUCAUUCCCAACAACCCGCGUAGCCAAUGGAUUCUUUACCAGAACUUUACCCGCUCAGCUCACUCCUAUACAGGUCCUGGUCCUGUACUUUAUAACCUACUGCUUUUGUACUUGACCUCUUCUCCCACAAACUAUCCUUGAACUACACUUUCCUCUUACUCUGAUCCUGAACAAGCAGUAAUUGAAACGGAGUAAGGUGAGCGCAUAUCCAGUCAAUACUGAAUUGAAACAAGCCCCUCUCUGACAUGAAUUGUCUGUGCGCCUCUCCUCUCUUGUGGACUUAGGGCAUCAAAACCAUGAAAACAGGUGCAUUAAUUAAAGGCACUAGACCAGAGUGCUGAGCUAGGUCCGCUAGUGCUAGAAUAAUAGCAUAUAUAAGAAGAUACCAGCCUAACCUAAGGGGAAUGCCACUCAUAAGUCAGAAUAUACCUCCCUCGCCUCUCCUCGACUUCUACUUAUGCUCUUUUGACUCAAACUAACUAUACUUGAUUGAAACAAGCCCAGCAUGAGACCCCGCUCCGUAGUCAACUACUACAGUUAGGGCUCUGGACUACUACUUAAAGGGGCAAGAAUGACAUUUGAAUAACAGACCUCUGAAAGGAGAAGAAACAGACUCAAUUUGGACUCCGGGCCAAGCUUAGUAGCUAUAGCACAGGUUUGAUUCCGAUACUGCUUAGUUCUAUUCUGACUCUGUGCCAAACUAUCCAUUAUAGGACUUACUUGUUCCAUUCUGCAAAUUACCAGUUUGAUUCUUUAACUACUUAGUUGCAUCCCCUUACUUGCUGGUUCAAUUCUGACUUGCUUCGGUAUCAAAGCCAGGCUCCUAGUUUGUAGUUCAAUUAUAAGUAAUCCCCAGUAGUUUAGAGUUGAUAGUUGCAUUCUUAGUCGAGCUAGUAGAGUCUCCUUUUUCACUCACUACUACUGUUGCUCACCUGUGUUCAAGAAUAAGGGACCGGUCUUCUCCCUUAGUUACAGGAUGAUGACUCUAUGAGCUAGUAUAGUUAUCGGGCCAAGUAACGGAUAGACAAGUAGGCAAGUCGAACAGGGAUUGAUUAACGAAAUAGGAUCGCACAGACAUUGAUUGAAGUCUAUAAGCUUGCCUGACCUCGACUCAGGCUCCGUACCCAUACUAGCUACCCUUGCUUGCAUUCUGUGAUUGACCGGUUUGGUUCUGUAACUCACUAGCUACACUCUCGUACAUACUGGUUCAAGCCAACAAGACACUACUAAUGACCAAGCCUCGUUAGACGCGGUAGAGUUCAUUUCUUCCUAACUUACCCUCUUGCUCUGUAACUCAGGUAGGGAAAUCUACUUUCCAUUAUUGAAAGCUUUUGCAUCUCUUAUAACAGAACAGAAUGAGGCUCGGCUCCUAUUAACUUCUUGAAACAAGCUGCGUGUCUGCUAACUCUGGCUAAUUGUUCUCCGGCUUCUUUUGAACUCAUAUUCUAAAGGAAAGAAAGAAAGAACUCACUUGAAUUCAAUACAGGCACCAGGCAAAGCUACUACUUCAUAAUUUCAUUGAAAAGAAAGUAGGCCAGGAGCUCCAAGUAGGCUAGUUCCAGUUCAUAAGUCAGAAUUGCACUCAUAAGUCAAACCUAAGAGAAAGAGGAAUCAGUGUCCGAACCUGUACUUCCCGCUUCUUAUACCAUAUAAUUAGUAUAAGUCAGAUCCUACACUCCCCGCUUCGUCACCAAGAACAGGCCAUUCUUCUCUAGUAAACUAAUACAGAUGACACUCGGGAUUACAACUCCAACAGGCAAUUGAGUGUCCAACAAAGCCCUAAAUAAUAAGUUCCACUGAUUGACACCUCGCUGCAACUAGAAUGCAAGGAGGAGGAGCACCCCCAAGAUAUUUCUUUGCAAGGCAAGGAGAAAAGUCGUUCUGUUAUCUUAAGUAAUAAUACCAGAGCCAAGUUGCCAGAGCUAUAGGACAGAGAAAAGAUCUUCAUUCACGAAACCCCGGAAAAAGCAUAGCAAACAGUUCCCUUGACACUCAUCUUAUCUACCUAGUUCUCCUCUCCCGCCUUUAAGAAUAGAGGCCCAGCAACGUAGCCGCAACUCUAGUAUUUGAUUUGAAGCGAGGUCUACUUCUGUCUCGUCUUCCAGUCUUGUUCCAGAAGCAUAAGCAUCAGAUCUUAUCUAAAACUCUCCGGAAUACAGAAUUCAACUUCAAGUAAAGAAACUGACACCAGUAGUAGAGUGAGUUGGGGAAAUCAUCUAGUAGUUUCAUCCCGGUCUGAAGCAGUUACGUAUCAGUGCAAGCCAGAGUUUGGGUCGCCAUCCCUUGUCGAAUCUGUUAUUCUUAAUAAUAAUAUAAGUUUGUAGGUAGGAGCCAGAGGUCUACGGAUAAUAAUGAUACCUAUGUGGCCUCUGGAAAUGCCCCUAUAGUGCUUUUGAGUCUAGAAAGAUGGCCCUCCCGCUCGUCGUCAACAAAGAAACAGAAAACUCAUUCACAAAGAUGCUAGCACCCAACAUAUGAAGUAGACCUAGACCUCGCAACAAAGGCUUCUACUUACUGAUUCUAUUCUGAUAUUGACUACUGACUACGAGUAACUGACUCCCUUCUUCUCUAGUAACUAACUUAGGGCUUACUCAACACUCUAGCCUCUCCUUAAGACUUUACUGCUUCCCUUGGAAACCCUUAACCUAUAAUAAGCCCCGAGCUCCACUCCGUUAGUGCUUCCUUGCCAUCUGCCCCGACCUCUCUAGCCCGAACUAAACUUUCAAAACCGAUUGCAGCUGACCUGACACUUUAUACUCAACGAGCUUCUUUAGCACUGCUUCUAUUCCCGAAUGAUAUAUUAGGCCUUCUCUAGCUCCUGCGGAUUCUUUUUCUUCCCUUAAGCGCGUAGCUCCGUAGGCAUGAGAUUCGAUAUUGGAUUCGGCUUCUUUUCUUGAUACUCUACUUGCGCCUCUCUCUCUCUAUAUUCCACUCCUUUAUCUCAUUCUUAGAUACUGACACCAUAAGACUUGUUGGGGUAGUAUUUGUAAGAGGCUCGCACAUCUAGUAAUAGACUCAUAUUUGUAGUGGAAUGAGUUAAAGCAUCAAGUAGAAGACCUAAGCUGACAAACGGAAGAACUAAACCCUGUAGUAAGAGCCUGAAUACCUCCUCGAACAUUGCAUACUUAUUGCCUUGCCUUGUAGUCUUCCACUCAUUGAUUUAGUGCUUCCGCUCCUUACCCCAAAUCUUGAUACCUAACGAUAUAAGUCUCACUUUCCUUACUCCUACUUUCUGGUUUUUAGUAUUCCUUUCCUUGCUUUUAGUCUUACAACCUAUAACUUCAUUCUGACUAUCUUUGCUUUUAGUCUUAGAUGGCUAAGCUAGGCUUAGAGUUGUUGUAAGUAGUAGUCAGGAUUGCACUAAUAAGUCAAAAACUAUGCCUCGAAAUACAGAAUGAAGGGGGGAAGGGCGUAGGUUGGAGUCUAGGUGAGAGUUGAAGUAGCACUCAUUAGUAUAAGAAUGAAGAAGCUCCCCCGCCUGCCAGCGCUCUAAAGUAGUAAAUACAGAAUUCAACAAAGUCGUAAAAGAGUGCGUAGUGAAAAGAACGGAUCAGAACAGGACUCAGUAGUAUCGGAAUGACUAGCAAGUGGGUAAGUAGGUAAGUUCGAAUUAAAGAAAGAAGUCGGAAUGAAACUCUAAAGUAGGCGCACGGGCAAGUCAGAAUGAAAGUAAUAAGUAAUGGAAUAUAAGUAAAUGGAUAAAGAGUUAGACUAGUACUAGUCAGAAUGUAAGGAAGGAGUACCAGACUGAUGAGUUUGAACCCUAUUUGGAGUUUUCUUCUAUUAUGGGGCCGCCAGUGAGAUUAUCUAUUGCUAUUUUCGUUCUUGCCUGGAGUAUCGAUCCUUAUUAGUAGUGAUGUAAGUUUGGAAGCGAGCAAAGUCAGACUAAUAGAAAGGAAUGCUUGUUUAAAAGAAUGAAAUAGAAUACUGAUUGAUAUAGGGAUGGGCGCCUUAAAGGCAUUAGUUGUAGAAUGAGAUAAAGCAAAAGGAGGUUUAGGUUGAAAAGCAGUAAAGCAGUAAAGCAGGACUCAAAGCAAGCAGAGGUAGACUCGAGCUAGUAAGUAAGGAUCCAAACCCAUAGUCAAAGAAUCCAAGUCAGCAGUAAAAGAAUCCAAAUAAGGAGUUGUGGAAUAAAAUACUGGAAAGGCAGGCUUAAACAGCAGCUACAGUAUUAGAAGCGAUAGCUCCAUUCUUACUAGCAGAGGAAUCAGACUCGGAUGUAACGUACCCAACUUUCAUCUAAUAAAGGACAUAUAGGUCAGAGGUGGAAGAGAAGCUAGAGAAGUCUCUGUUUAGGAAGCAAGAUCCGAUCCGGGCUGGGGUUGGUUUAUUUACUUACUUAUGUGCUAGGCGAGAUAGAUUCCAAUUCCGUAGUUGUUGACAAGGCGCUUGAAAGGAAAGAAUCAAUUGGGUAAGCCUCAAACAGGACUUGGCGGACACAGGACUUGAGUAGAGAGAUCAGUUUCUAAGGACUAAGUGAGCUAACGGGAGCAAGAUCGGUCUACUUUGAAAUGCAUUAUUUAUCAUCGCCAAGAUGUUUUUCGAAGGUUUGUUUGAUUGACCAUUCAACUAAGAAACGGCCCUUAUAAUUAAUUGAUUCCUAACAUAUUUCUGGUUCCUUCCCUGAACUAAUUGAACAAGUUUACUUACCUCUCCUCUUGACACUAGCUGCCAGAAGAUCAACUUAUUUCCGUAUCUAUCCUGGGAAAGAAAAUGAGACAUUAAACAAAUUGAAGCAUAUUUAUAGCCCCUUCAUCGCCGAUGUCCCUGGACUCCACGUACUCCUGUAAACGCCGCUGGUUCACUCUAUGGCGAUUUAGACAAGAUCGCACUUGAGACAUCCCGGAGAUCAAAGAAUUCGGCUAGGUUACCGUGGCUAGCAAAGUUCAAUGACGGAAGGAUCGGUUCAUCAUCGGGACUAGCAGCAACACCUGCGUUCAAUUCCUCGUAAAGCGGGCAACCCUAAACAUUGCCAAACCAAAAGACGUGGUGGCGCUUUGGAUUCGAGUUUUCCCUCUCUGGAAUCUUAUGAGUAUGGGUUUUGCUAGUGUAGUAACUCCUUAAAUGUGGGCGAGGAACUCUCUUCUCGAGUCGUAAGCCACUUAUUCAUGUGGUAGUGUUACCCAAGGUGUUCUUUAAGGGCUCAUAAGAGUUUUCCUCGUCACGUCGUUCAUUAACGGCUAAGGCCUGGUAACAUGAAUGAACCUGGUAACAUGAAUGAACCCGGCGGCUGGUUAUGGAGGGGCAGCGCUUUCCAGUCGACGGAUACUGAUACAGAAAAGCGAUAUAACUCAAGAUCGGCAAUAGGCGACUCAUAGUUUGUUAAGUGACAGUUCAAAGUAAGGAUAGAAAGGUAAAAAACACAUAUGAAAGGAACGAGAGCAAGAGAGAAAUAGGCCAGCUCAUGUAGACCCGGACCAUGCAACGAGCAACUACUCUUACUAAUGUACCAAAGAAGAUCGUGGAGGAAACAAAGACAUGAGGAGCAUGAUACAAAUGGGACAUAGGAGGAAUCGAAGUGGUUUCGAAUCCAAGGUACUUACUUCACUUGUUAUGGUUCUCCUGAGGUUAAAGGAAGGGCUUAGUUCUGCGGGAUAGUUUCAGAGCAGCAAAUCUCUCUUACUAACUAGCUCCCUAAUCUAGCCCAGUUACCCUUACUAAUAGGUAUUUUGCCUAUAAUGAUGUCCUAUCCACCCUGUAGUUUUCUAUAUUCCAUUUGUCUUGCUUGUGUCUAAGUGUCUCCAAGUGAAGGAGAGGCCUAUAUAAGAAGUUGAGGCAAGGUCAGCAGUGUAUUUCUUUAGUUCUAUACCAAGUGUCAAAUCUUUUCCUGCACAAUCUGGAUCUUCUAGACUCGAAAGAAAGCAAUAAAGUUCUAGUUGAUGCGCUUGAAAGAUCUGUAUUUGUGUCCUCUGCGCAACAAGACUCAGUAUCAGUCAGCUACGAAAUUCCUAUCUCCGAAUGCUUGUGAAAGACAUUCUUCUUGAGGAGGCUUGCUCACUCGUCCGUUCUAACCCAUUGUGGAUUCACACUUAGCAAUGUAACCCUAUAACCCGAAAAAGCAGAAUGAGGCCUUUCUUACACACGCUUCAUUGAUUACACGGACUCAGGAACUUAAAGAGGCUUGAAAUAAGAGGCAACACAAAGUCAAGCAGAAAUCAUUACUGCAACUCAGAGAACUCUAGCAGAAACUUCCACCGGCGGGAAUGCUUAACGCGGGGAUCCAAAUAAAGCUGCCAAUGAUUUGGCUCAGAUGGCAUCAGGAUACAGAUUUGCUGUUUGCCUCUAUGAUCAGAUCUGAAGCGGAAAUGCCAUUAACAUUAAUAGAAUUGCGGGUAGGCCAAAAAAAACACACCGGUUAUUCUCUCAGCAGUUGGAAGAUUCAGAGGGGCUGGGCUGAGAAUGUCCAACCUGUUUAUUGCGCCUAUUCUUCUAUCCCAAUAGUUUGACAAGGCAAAAAGGCAAGCUGGAAAGUCAGAAGGCGUCGAGCCUAUUCUUGCAACAGACGUGGCAUAAUUGCUAAAGAAAUUCCUUCCAUACCUCUAAAAACGAAGUCUCCUCGUGGUCAUGGAAAGCCCCUUUGUCUUUGAUUUGGAGUUGCGAAUAGAUUACCCUAAAGCGAUCGCUAAGGGAUGUGGUUAGCUAGCUAGUUCCCCCACUACUUUAUUGAGUCUCAUUCUUUUCCUAAGUAACUUAGUGCAAUAAUUCCUAGUAAGAGCAAGGAAAAGCUAAUCUUUACUUACUAAAAAGCCUACUAAUUGAAAGAAUGUAGGAUCACUAGGAAAUUACCUUUCCAUUCUAUACUCAACACACCUUCAUUCUUCUUAUCUUGUUACUACUCCUUCACUAGCUUAUUGACCGGCUGAUUAUAUUUCUGCUUUUCCUAUUCCUACUGCUGAUUCUCUGGAAACGGAGUCUGGGCCUGAUCUUGUUCCAGCUUCAGAACAGAUAGAGUCACCUCGAACAGAACCUUUCUACCAUGGGCUUCACCUUGAUACUCUUCCUUUAUACUCCUCCGCCUAAUCACUACUUGGGAUGGGACUGUCAAUCCUUUGAGUUCGAGUCAUCUCGGCUUGGCUUCUUAAUACGAUUCAAGUCCACUUUCUCUUCCACCCUUCGCUUAGUCUUGGGCGCUGGCCAUAAGAAUACUUUGUGCGAUGAAGAAGGACUAAAAGAGAGACCUGAGAGUUAGUCAUACAUCGAUUCUUUCACGCCUUACUGAAAUUCCAUAGGACUUACAUAAGUAGAGCAGUACAUUAAUGAAUUCAUGAAAACCUCGAAAAACCAAUGGUAGAGGCAGAAGAACAACCAACGCCCGGCAGAAGAACAAACGGAACCUGCGGGCGGAUCGGAUCUUGCAACGGUAUCAAGUCAGCGGGAAGGAAAUAAGACAGACAGGAAUCGAUAAUAAGCUCUUUUCUAAACAGCUGGGGUGGUGUCUCCAGGAAAGGGAAAUUCAUGAGUUGUGUGUUGGGGAAGGACAUUCCUAUCUUAUUUAGAAUAUAUCAGUAAUAGAGAAAUUAAGCGCAUCAGUCAAAUGAACUGUUCUGUUUACGAGAUCUCAAUUCCUAGAUUCAAUUAAUUGCCCUCGAAAGAUUCCAUUCCUGUAGUUGCUGCAAGAGAUUCCCAAAAACAGGACUUGCUCAUGGCAACAUACUAACUAACAAGUCGUGGCUUGGCUCUUCUCUGUAUAUAGGAUCAAACAAGAACAGGAAAUUGAAGAGAGAGAAUAGGGCGGCGCUCUCCACUACAAAUACAGAAUGAAACAGUAAAUAGAGAAUUAGUGCGGAGGGUGCUCCCUGAAGAAAAGACGGAAGAAAAGAAUAGGGCCAAUACACUACUAAUGUUACGCGGCAGGGAGUUCUCGGAAAAGUUGAGGAUCCAUAAGGUCACUCAGGAGGGAAACCAGAGUCGCUGUCAAAAAUCCCGGUAAAACGCAAAAGUUGAUGACUUGAGGACCUCGUUAGGAGGGAAACCAUGAUUGCUACCAAAAAACACGGGGUUUCUUAAAAUAAUCUGUCUUUUGGACCUCGCUAGUAAGGAAAAUCAGGGUGCUAUGUUUUUUCCCGGGAAAACGCAAAGAUCAAGAUUUCCAAAACUCGUAUACUCGGGAUUAAACUCAUUCAAGUCCACCAGGCAAGCAUCUACUAAGUCUUUUGUUAGAGGCUUUGAAGCAGGGUUGCUAGUAGUAGGCUUGCUAGUAGUAGGGUGGAUUCUGUCGGUUGAUACCUUCUCCUGUGCCUGUUCGAGUUAGAGUGGAAGUGAGCCUACCUUUAAGGAUUGAUUGCUAGUAUCGGUUUUUAUUAGGGUUAGGGUUUCAAAUGAGCUAGAACUAGAAUACCUUAGGUAGGAAGGAACUGGCACCGAGAAAACCCUCUAUGGCUGGGUAAGAGACGGAGUUAACCUUUCAUAGUCAAAGGGCAAGCUAACCUUAGCAAGAACGGGAAGCUGUGUUCGGGAGCAAGAGUGAAAGCAAGCAGGGUGCAGUUCCGGGAAGAAGAAACAUUUUGUUCAAAGGAGUCAUCUGCCUCAAUUUGUAAAGCUGGGGUUUAUGGAAACAGGGCUUAUUAAGGCAAUAAUAUCAGUGUUGGACUCGGGUCUCUGUUAGUUAGCCCUAGCAUAGAAGGAAGCAAGUGAAAAGGCCAACAAGCAACAUAGUCAGUUGCGCGGUAGCGAGUUAACCUCCUUAGGGACAUUCUUUGACUCAAUAGCUCCAUUCUCAGUUGAUAGCACUGGUUCUGGUAGUUACUAUAUGAAGACUGGUUGGUAGUUAGUUGCAUUCUGAUCUAGUCUGAUAGGGUUCAAUUCUGUAACUCCUACUUUCCUACUAGUGAGUGUCAUUCUGAUUAUUAGCGGUUUCAUAUUAUAGGUGUGUGUUAUCGACCCCAACGCAACUCCUCUCUCCGUUACUUAUAGCUUUAUGACCGAAAUCAGUCACAGCUAAAAUGAAGCUCUUCGUUCUCAAGUAAGGUUAUGACCAAUCUUCUGCAUCUGUUAUGACCAAUCUUCUGCAUCUAGGCUAGUUUCACUCACUUACCCCUAUUUACAGCAAUUCCGCAUCUAUACCUCUGGCAACCUUACCUCUUAUUCUUAUCUUACUUACAGCAAUUCUUAUUUCUGAACUUCAAGUCCUUUGUUUGCCCCAGCGAAAUGGGAUUCCUCCCUUUGUACUAGAGCAAGAAACCCUGAGCGAGGUCUCGAUUCUCAGCCGGGUAAUGGGUACUUUAAAUACUGUAUUGGAGCCAAGCCAGAGAGGGGCAAAUACAGAUGUUGGAUCGGGUCGGGAGCUACAGAAUGAAAAGCAUGAGCAGGCUUAGAAGCACCAGUGAAAGUAUGAGUCCCGAGGUGUAGUCUCUUAGUACAAUAGUGGAUUCCUGCUAUCAGUGGUUCGACUCUUUACAGUAGUACCUAUUCUUAUAGUUUGUAGUGGUAGGCCAAUACACUGGGCAAUAAGGCUGGUCUGGUUCCAUUCUACCUCUAAUAAGUAGUGGUUUGAUUCUCUAUUUUAAGUGAAAGUCUUAGCUGUAGACAAAGGCCGAGUUCCCGUCCCGGACCAACACUUAGAAGUUGCAGUUUGUUUCCUAUGCCCCCACAUAUCGAUUCUUUGACUUGGCAGUUUGAUUCCCAGUUUCUAGCUCAAGCCUUGUUGUCGGUGGGAGCAAGUCUGACUUCUUAGUUAAAGCAUUGUAAGCAAGUAGUCCAAGCCUAGGGUUCCGUGUUUUUAUUCCUUAGGCGCCAUUCUGAUUUAUGGUAUUGAAAGUCUCGGUUUUGCUAGUGCUCUGUAGUUAACAGUAUAGUUUGACUCUUACUUUGGAGUUGAUAUUGCUAUUAUAACCUAUGUGUGUAGCAUAGAAAUCUAGUAGACUUAUAGAGUCAAUAAAUUCCCUCAAUUACGCUAAGGCAAACCACUAUUAAAUAGAAUCUAAAUUAACAUAUCAUAUGACAAUUGAAUACUCACAUUUGAGAAUGAAAAGCUGUAAAGGUAGCUUCGAUCAGUAGGGUUAUUACAUAACAGGAUUAGGAGUAGAGUCGUCGGAUUCUUAUGUAGUAGAGGCAAGUCCUGAGUUCCGAAUUGAGUGCUUUUUCAUAGUAGGAGUAGUCGCGUUCUUGUUAACGGUAAUUCACUUCCUUAUUAGAAGGUCAAAUAAAAGGAUGAGCUAGUUCAACUCUGACUUGUAAAGAUGGUGUUCCAUCCUAUUCUAUUAGCGCAGCAGUCGAUUCUUAUGACUUGUAGUUGGAGAGCGAAACCAAGGAGAGGUGUCGUUAGGGUUGACAUUGGUAGCACUCUUUCUAUUAGUAGUUCGAUUUGGUAGUAGGUUUGAUUCCCGCUAUUGGUCUUAUCAGCCUUGUAAGCACGAGACCAGUAUCCUCAAUUAUGUGUUUCACUCUUUCCAGUAGUAGGCGCACCUUGUUUGUAUUAGUAUAAUAAGUCAAUAGCUGGCAAUGAGUAAUGAAAGAAAGAGGUCAGAUAGAGGAAAUAGUCAAUAGAGAAUGAAAGGCAGGCUCACAAUUUCACUAUAUACCUUACUUAAAUACCUUACUUAAGUCAAAAGUCUAAGUCACAGUGGCAGAGGAAUACAAGAUUUGGAUGCCGGGUAGUCAGAAUAGCAGUUAGAUGCCUAUACUAGGUUUGGAUGCUCAGAAUAACGGGUAUAGUUCCGGAAGGUAAGUUUAGAGAGGGUAGAUCAGGGUUAAGAGUCAAAGUAAGUCAGUGAAGUCGUACAAAACCAAUUGUUAAUAUAAUGAUAAUUCAUUCGAACAAUAAGAAUAAGAGUUUACUCAACAAUAAGAAAUAAGAGGUGUAGUUCGGGGAAGAGUGGAAUCUGUCUUUGUUGCGCUAACAGGAAGGGAAUAGAGUGAAUCCGGGGAGUUUACGAAUGAAGCAAGUAAGAAAUGAGCCAGCAGCUUGUUGAAAUAAGAAUAGUGAGAAGGCCAUAAUACAUAGGCUAGCGAGGUGAGUCUAAGUCUUAGAAGCAGGCCCUAAUACAUAAUUGGUAGCGCAUUCCUUUCAUUACCAUUCCUUUCAUUACUAAGAAACCUUAGGGAUAGAUCUACUUAAACUUACAAUAGAGGCCUACCCUUGAGGAAUCACCGGGCCAGCUCUCUUGCGGUUAAGUCAGAUUCAAAAGUAUACUUAUUUGCGUCUAGUAAAGUAGCUAUGGUUAGUUACCGGUAUCCAUCAUACCUGGCUAAUGGCAUAAAAGCCUUUACCUGCUCCUACUUAUGAUCCAGCUUAUGAUACUGCUCCUUUCCUUUCCUAAGGUAUGAUCUAGACCCGAUACAGCACAGCAGAUGAUCUUUCAACAACAAACUUCACUGCCGCGUCCCCUUAUAUAUCAGUUCAUAGGACUUGCUCAAAGGUAUUAAAUAAAGGAGUCCUGAGUUUUUGCUUGGUUGCUCUUAAUUCUUCCAUUCUCCAUUCUUAUUGUCUGCCGAUUACUGCUGAGUUCAUUUCUUCCUAACAUCUUGCUGGCCUAAACUAUCAUAUCUUCACCUCUUCUUCUUGAAUUACCUGAAUUACCAAGCUAGAUCUAUACAAGAUACUACUUCGAGAGAAGAAAGGCCUGUUCGAGCGGAAGCUGGGUCAGAUGGAAUUAGGUCUAGAAAGAAGUCUGAUUAUACACCUAUAGCAGAUCUCGGGGGUUUACAAUUCAGAAAGAGUCUUGUUCCUGUUCAAGAAUCUGCUUGUUAAUUGGCAGUUCCGGCGGUAGUAUAGAAUAGCCUGUUCGAAAGUAAUUUUAUCGAAAAGAAGCAGGUAAUUCAAUUAGAUAAGAAGCUAAGCUGUUCGAGUGAAAUCAACGAGUCCUGAGUUCACCUGUUUUUGAGUUCGCCAGACAAGCCGACAAAUGUUCAUGGCGUUAGUCCGAUCUACUCUUGAAUAAUCAAAAGAGGGGCUCUAGAAUCAGCUGGAUAAGCAGCUACAGAUGAAGCAGCAUCCUUACUCAAUCCUUGGAGUUAAGGAUUCGUCUGCCUCCGAUAAGUCUAAGAAGAAUCCGGAAUAGUAAGUGCAUUUUCUCUUUCUCUUUAUAACCCCUGAAACUCCAAUGAAAUGGUAUGUCUCGCUUAGGCAGGAACAAAUGGUAUAUAUCGUUUAGGCAGGAACAAAUGGUAUGUCUCGUUUAGGCAGGCUAGGAAAGCUUAUAUGUAAUCAUAUCAAUAAUAAAGAAUGCUUAGCUUAUAGCUAAGAUUAGACUAGACUGAUUUGCCCGCCCCGCUUACUUCUUUUUCACUCCAUCUUAUUUCUACGACUUUCUGAGUGGAUCUCCUUUUUACACAAGAACAUCAAUUUCUUAACCGGGUCCUGGACAGCUACGCCUUUACUUGAUUCUUCCUCUCUUAAAACUCCUAAUUCCUGACCGACUCCUAGAACAAGCAUCUUCUCUUAUUACUACCCCGGAAACCACAAACAACUGAUUUAUCUCCGACUCCAUAUACUGAUACAUUAAGGCGAUUUGACAGUGAGAGAAAGAAUUAAUAUGUUGUGAAGCUGUCCGCUCUCAGUACUUAAGUAUCGUCUCUUUGGAUGCGCAAGUAAGCUAGGAGUUCUCAGUUCGAAUUUCAUUGUUAGCGAGAGAAUAAGCAAUGUAGCGGUGAAGAAGAGGUGUUGCCCAGGAAAGGUAUAUAUAAAACAGAGGAUAAGAAUUCCGCAAGUCAGAAUGAAGUGAUAGGAGCCGAAUUCCGUUAAUAGUUUUAAGUGGCCAUAGGUAUUGUAGCCAGCUGCUGGGCUUAUGUAAUUACUUGUUUACUGACUUAGUUGACUUACUUGUUAGGCAAGUUUACAUACUGAGUUUACUUACUUGGUUGGGUCGGGUGCUUGUGUGACGCUAUGAGGAAAUAGAGAAACUUAGUAGGCAUGGCCCCCUACUAAAUUCUAUAUUCUCUUUAUAUAGGUGAAUUGGCUUUUCCCCCGCAUCUACAUCUAGUCAUUGAACUCAGUAGUAACAGUAUCGGUGUGCUUAGUUGGAGGCUUUGAAGCUGGGUUGAUUCUUUUGUUUUCUACCUUCCCUUGCCCAACCAGUGGAGUAGUCGGAGUAGUGUAGUCCAGAGCAACAACUUUAUGAGUUGACAGAGGCUCGGGUAGUUUACUUACUUGGAAGAAAAAACAAUCAAUGAUCAAUCACAAAAAACACGAAAUAAAAGUGCUCAUUUUUGACUACCUUUUCUGUACUAGUUAGGAAGGGAAAAAUAGUAGAUAAUGGAAUAUAAGAAAACAUAAGUGACUUGGCCCGAUAACUAUACUAGCUCAUAGCAGCUGAAGAUACUGGUGAAGUUUCUGAUCUAUGGUUUACAGCACCAACUAGUAGUAGUCCUGUUUACAGGUAAGGGAGUCGAGGUCGGCAAGAGAAUAAGUCUCGUCUCUUUCUUUGGCUUUGAAGUUAGGUGGGGAGCUAGUAAGUGGUCAAGAGCAAGUCCUUUUGGGGGAGCUGAGCUAGCAAGUGAAGUUGAUUCAGAAAGUGCAAGUGGUAUUCGAGUUCUUGUUUCAGCAGUUGUCCUAUAUAAGAGAGAAAUGAGAUCCAUUGAGCUGGUCUACUUGUCCGUGAAUUCCCAGUUGCAUCUGUAUUAGUUGACAGAGGAGUAAGAGAAGAGGCAAGAUCCGAGGCAAGAUCAGAGGAGAGGUCCGGCCAGUCAGAUAGAGUUAGUUCGGGCAAGAGAACUAGAGUUGUUAGUUGAAAGAGCAAGAUCAGAGGGAGAUGAGAAAGCAGCAGGGCGUGUUGAAAGAAGUAUUGGUUGCCCAAGUCCUGUGUUCGGGUGCUCCUACUAGGCCAGUAAUACUUUAGCCUUAAGCGCUAGGUGGGAAUUCGAAAAGAGAUCAUCCUCCUUAAAGGAUUUAACUAGAACUGGCAAUGAUUAUAAAGACUUUAGCGCAUCAGAAGCACAAGGUGCUGAAAGCCUGAAGAACCUACACACCGAGAUAUCGCACCGUUGAUUCAUUUUCGUCGACAACACACGCGAAACGGCACUAGAAUAAGCCCUGACCUUAACAGCUACGCCUGGGCAAGCAAGUUCAAGUAUUGUUUCUUUGGGUGCUCGUGUAAAGCAUAUAAGCACUGUUAUGGAACUGCCUACUAAAUGAGAUAAUCUGUCUCUUUGAUUCCUAAUUCCCUACUACACUGGAUCGGUGCUCUCUGAAAGGGGUGAGUAAUCCGUUUGGGUGAGUCAUCCGUAGAGUAAGCUGAUUGGUUACCGCUAGUUGGGUAAUAGCAGUAAGAUGUGUUUUUAGUGAAUUCUAUAUGUGGAUAGCUAUAUGAAUUGAAUGGAGUGCAAAUCCUCUAUAAGUAAAGUAACAAAACACUCAACUUAUGAGAAAAGAAGAAAUAUAAGUGUGCACAUAUGAGUGAAUUGAAUAAUCUUACCAUUCAGAUAUACAAUACUAUACGGAAUCAAAUCAUAUAAUUGCACAUAUUUGCUUAUCCUCCUGGAAAAAGAGACUGCUACCGAGGCUAGGGUCCUCCUUCUUGUAAAAGAGACUGCUACGAAGGUAUUCCUGUAAAAGAGACUGCUACCGAGGCUAGGGUAUUCCUGUAAAAGAGACUGCUACGAAGGUAUUCUUGUAAAAGAGACUGCUACAAAAAGGUGUAAUUGAGUUGAAUGAAGAGUUUCUUGGAUGACAUUUGCUUGCUCCUUGAAUUACACUUGCUUGCUCAUUGCUAAUCAUCUAUGUGGGAAGUGGCCUGGCCUCCUUAUUUCAUUUUUCUUAUUCAUUGGCGUGCACACACAUAUUCUAUAUUUAUGUAACUUCACUGCUUACCCUGUUUAUGAUCCUAUUUUCUUAUCUCUUAUACAUAGCAUCUCUAUCACUCUUACAGUAGACUCCUUUACUCUUACAGUAGACUCCUUUACUUUUAAGAGAACUUUGAUUUGUGUGACGAAGAGUCCAGGAAAGAGCAGCACAGCAGGCGAUGUUACUAUAAGGUGGAUAACUCUGGAACUCCUCUAACUCAGGUGCCGGUAUUGAAUAUGGGCCAGAAUACAACACUUGCUAGUGCAUUCAAGUAAGUAAUAGAGUUCUAAUAAGACAAGUCAGAAUAUAAGUUCAGUAUAAGGCCAGAAUACAACACUUGCCUUGCCAUCGGAUUAGAAUAAGACAAGAGGGUAAGUAUAAGAGCCCAUCAACUACUGUCGACUUCGGUGUUAUGAGUGAGUUUUUAAGCAUAGGUGUUAUGAGUGAGUUUUUAAGCAUAGGUCAAAGCUACCUUAUUUCUCUAAGUCUGCAAGGAGAGUUAGAGUUUGUUGAGUUAGAAUCGGGUCGGGGUGAACUCCACUAUUGCUCUGUACUCUGGACUACUCCACUGGUGAAACCGGACUACUCUACUGGUUGGGGAAAGGAAGUAGCACAUACUACUGUCUGUAACUAAGGGACCGAUCGCCCGAAAGAUUGAGUUAUGAGCAAGUCAAGCCUGUUAAUAGAUGAAUUCCUUUCUGUAAUAGGUAAAACAUCCACCCCCCCUUGCGAAGGAAGGAAAAAAAGGAUGAUUUGGAAAAUGCUUCUUAUUAGUAUUGAUAGCAAUUGAAAUAGAUAACUGAAUAGGCAGAAUUCAGAAGUUAUGAAUUAAGGAGCAGACGAGGAGGAGUCCAAGAAUGGCUGUUUGUUGUAUUGCGGACAAAGUAUGCUAUUUUCAGAGGAGAGAAGAGAAGGAGUCCAAGAGUGGCUGUUGUAUUGCGGACAAAGUAUGCUAUUUCAGAGGAUAGAAGGAGCAGCGGAAAAAAGUGCCUCAUCGCGGACGACUCACCAAAGCACUACAGGAUCUUUCAUCUGCGCAAUCCCCACUUCAGAACUUCCGCUGCUUUCGAAAAACGGAAGAAAUUCUCAAUUGGAUUAGAAGAAGAUAUUGAUUCGAAAUGAUAUUCUAAGGAAUAAGAUAUUGUUUAUUUGACUUAUAUAUUCUAUGUGGAAUCUUAUAUCUUCUAUAUUUCUUAUUUAUUGCAAACCCGACACCUCUCCUCUUUUAUCUGAGCUUGAUUCUGUUGAUUACAAAAUCCAUCCGGAAACUGUGGAGAAGGAAAACCCUAGAAAAGCGCUUUGCCCUAGACCUUGACCUCUAAUCCUAUAAAAUGAAUUGAGCUUCCUCAAUAACUAAUAUGCCUCGGAGAACAACACCAAUCCGUUGCAUUUGAAGAUGGGUCUUGUCAUCGCACGGACCAUGACAAGAGAAAGGGCUGUUGCUAGGCUAGUGGAAAAUACCUGUUCCAAUCUAGGAUCGGUUGAGACUCAACACUCGGGGAUAUAUAUAUCAAAAGAAAGAUCUCGGCAUCCUAUAGUAGAAAAAGAAAGAUCUCGGCAUCCUAUAGCCAGGAAAUCCCCAAAUCGCUAGGGCAUAUACAUCUUGAUUCUUUAUCCCCCAAGAGAAUCCGACAAUAAUUCCAUUCCAUAUCUCAAAUAUAGGCAAGAUCCAUAUUCCAUUGAAAAUCCAUUGAUAAUAGAAUGCCAUCCGUAGAAAAGCGCAAAGGAGGAUUGAUAUGGCAUGAACCGGUCUGCUCCAUCUGCUGAUCCUCUCCGGAGGCGGGCGGGCAGGUUCUUUUUGUGUGAUUGGACGGACGUACUUUUGGGUCAUUCUCUAUUGGAAAAGAUGGGUAAAAAGCCCCCUCGGUAGUAUCCAUAGGGAAUCAGGUAUAUUCGACCCUUGAUCUCUUCCUAAUAGUUAGUUAGGCGACCCUUGAUCUCUUCCUAAUAGUUAGUUAGGGUGGUAGUCAAUCACUAGCCCUUCCCAUUUCCAUAUCAUAAAUAAGUAUCAACGGACACUUUAAGGUAAGGAGAAAGAAGUGAACCCGUGGGAAGGAAAAAGGAAUAGAAUAACACAAUCGAAAAAGCAAUCAAGUAAUGCCUUCUGUUGUCGGAAUGGGAGCAGCUAUGGAAUUCGCAUCUGGCUAUACUGCUGGACUGGAAAACAUUCUUUCCCCUCGCAUAGAAUCAAAAAGGGAAACGCAAUAAGUCGUUACUAAGUAAGCACGCCCACGGGCUAGCGAAGUCACUUACCAACUUCAAUUCUCUUAUAAAAGGAAACGAUCUUUAAACAUAACCAAUAGCGUCGACUCUUUUUCUUUUGCCCAGGAGUAAGUAAUUGAUACCGAGAAGAAGCUCCUCUUUCUUUAGUUCGGGUUCCCCUGUGGAAUGUAUAAGGUGGUAUGGGCCUUAUCCUAUAUGAGAAUAAGAAUAUCAAAGGUCAAAUGCUUGCUUUAGGGGAAAGAGAAAUAAUCCUCUAAAAGCAAUGUGCCAAGUAAUCUUCUUUGGAUUUUCGACUCAUUAAUUCCUCUUCGGGAGCAGCUAUUGAUUGAAUCCGCAUCUCUUGCAGGACUAUGGCUGUCGUCAAAACCUUGACCUUCCUUCUCUAACUAAUUGAUAGAUUGUGGGCGUAAGACCCUUCUCUUUGCCGAUCUAGGUGACAUAGAGGUUUAUAGCUCGUAAAAAAACAUGGCAAAUAUCUAUAUAAAUAUAGAAAUAGGAUAGGAUAGGACUUAUGUUCGGCCCUUUACUUAUUAAGGCAGCUUUCCCCUCUCAGUUAGGAGGAAUGAACUACAUAGAGGAAAUCGCUCUGUAUGAUAGAAAGAAGUCACCAAAACCCUACUCGUUACUUGCAGAAUGGAAUUCCAUCUUUCGAGCACCUACACCUAGUCUAGAUUGAUGUAAAACACUAUACCUUUUGCCUCUGGUCGCCUUGAAUAGAGACUUAUGUCAACUCACCACCGCCUGACUUAGUAGUUAACCUCUUCCUCUCUCUACAUUUAGUAGUUAACCUCUUCUUCUCUAUACAUUGAGUGCAAAAUAGGAUAGAUGUCCAGUCCACCCCACCAAGUCAGUAAACAAAACAACCCUAAUCAACUGAAGCAAACUAGGGAAUAAAAGAACCAAACUCUGAACUAAGACUUGAGAACAACUGUCUGAAUUCUUAAAACACAUAGCAAGUAGGCAAGCAUAUACUAGAGCCAGAAAUCAGAGAAGGUAGGGUAGAAAACGACCGAGACAAGCCCUCGCCCUCCUUAAAGUAGUAGUCCAAUCGAGACCGGCACCCCUCGUAGUAGUUGUUACUUGUAUGCUUGUUCUCUAUAGCUAUAGCCUUGGUAAGGCAGAAUAGAGGAAGCGGCUUACUCACUAUUCUUAUAUCAUGAUGGGUGCAUAUAUCGAUUGGAUUCAAUUCAGAAAGACAUAUUCGAUUCCGCUGUUUCUUUACUCAACAUGAGAGUAAGCUGUUUCUUUACUCAUUUCUAUGAAAUUUGAUAAGAUUAGUAGCUUUAGAGUUACUGAGUUAGACUUUAAGCCAUUACUGAAUGAAGCUAUCGGCACUCCUAGCUCGCUAUAGGAAUUCAUAAGCAAAGCACAAACAAGGUUUAGUCAAUAAGUAAAGUACUUGAGUGGAGUGAGGUGACCCCUUGACUAUUGAGGACAGAGGCCCCGUUAGAUAAGUUAACCGUAAUAACUUCUUCUACUUCGCCUUUCCUUUCCUUUCGGCCAUCCUUUGAUACUAUCUGUAUUGAGCUUGCCUUUCCUUUCGCUUGAAUAAUAGCCUUCUUCAGCGAACCUUGAAUAAUUGGACGAGAUUCUGGUCUUCUGUAAGCGCCCCGAAAACUCACAUUCGAACUAUCUUUGGCUUCUGGAUCUGUAACUCCACGAAAGGACGGACAAGGAGUGUAAGCUGGACAUUGACGACUUGGACCACUAUCUAUGAUAUGCCACUUGAACCAAAACAGUAGGGGGCGGCUUCUUUUGAGUGGUUUUCACCUAUAUUAACCAGAGCUCAUAGCAAAUCUACUUAUUUAAACAAUGUUUCUGUUCCUUGAAAUGCUUUUUGCCUAGAAAGAGAGUAGCUCGGCUCUUCACUGUACCGAACCUGUACCGUUUACACUUACUGGCAUUAACUCGCUAAGCCGGCAUUAACUCGCUAAGGCUUACUCUUUGAGCGCGCAUUGUUGAGUUCCGAGCAAAGAAGUCUUUGUUUAUUGUUGCAGGAUCGGGUGCUUACGUGAAAGAAUCUGAUGGGACGCAAGAACUAGUAACGGUGUUCUGCUAAUGUGAAGAUAGACGAAAGUCAUAACUGAGUCCAGAAGCUUUUGGAAAGCCGCAAGACUAAACAAGCUGACUUUAUUGCGCUAAGCACCUCUGAUUCUCGAGUUCACUUUCCUGUUUAAGAUCCUGUUCCUACUUGCUUCUACUUGAUCUGUUGAAACUGUUUCCUCACCAGAUCCCGGGUUAUCUACCUAUUGCUUGUUCCGAGUCAACUCAUGAAUUUGCAUUUCACUCUCCUACAUCGCAGAAUUCUAUUGAAAUUGUUAACUCCGUAGGGUAGGCGCAAGUCCAAGCCUUUAUUGAAUCUAUCGCAGUCAGGUCCACUUUUCACUCCCUUAGCGCAACAGUCUCUGCUGAUAAAGCAUCUAAUCAAGGAGACUUAGCGCUUGCUGCUGAGAUUGAUUUCUGAAUUGAAGAAUAUCAUUGAGUGCACUGAUCAUAAGUAACACCUGACUCUGAUUCUUAUGCUCCCGCUGGAACUACACUUGCAGACUGAAACACAAGAAAGACUAUCAUUGCUUAACACAAGCACUUUACUCUGGAAAGCCAAGUUGGAUAGCGAUGUACGAAAGAAUGGGUAAGGAAAGGCGAAGUCAAGUGUUUUAGGAAAGUCUCUAGUUUCAAGUGCUGUUUUCUAGGGCUUAAUAGGUUUUCAUCUGGCUUAAUCGGUUUUCAUCUUAUUAUUAAGAAAGAAGAGGAUAUCAACUAGCCCUACCCUAAGGAUACAGAUGGACCUACCCUAAGUAAAGUACCUAGCGCUGGUAGAUUAGCCAGAGCCUACAGUAGCUAUCAAGUAAGCUGAUGCGGAUAGGGGAUGCUUCACCGAACAAGUGAAUAAGCCGUAUAAAGUCCAGUUAACCAUAGGGGUAUAAUAGAUGUUAUGUUGGUAGCAAAUCCACCCAGUGCCCCCUCUCGCCAACCGAUAACUCUUAUACUCUAUUCUGAUCCUCAGGUACGUCAUCUAGUGCUAAGAAGGUACUUCGGAGAAAAAUGAAUUCCAAGACUCAGUGAAAAGAUCUUAAGCCGGAAGCUGGCUCUUAGCACCUUAUUUGUUUAGUUUACUUUUACUUAGGAUAGUUGUUAAGUAUUGCCAGGUCCCUAUCGUUCAAGAAAAUAAGUGGAGUAUUGUAAAGAAUUUCGUAAAGAGGAAGGAUCUUUAUAAGGAUCAGAAGUGUGCAGCAAUAUAUGAGUCUCCUCUUUCAGUUCUUGGCUACUUUCAUCCUAUAGAGGUCGGGGCAGAAUCCAGUCCUGCUUUAGCUGAAGCGCUAACGGGAGCUUGCUCGAGAUAGUCUCAAAAACGUUACUUGUUAAUAACUCGUAGGAGGUGAAGAAAGGACUACGUUGCCUGGUUGUUGGACUCGGCGCUUAGGAGAAAGUUUGCAUUGUGUCGAGAUUCACUAGUUAUAGAGCACCAGACCAUUAAAGAAAUUGAUGUUUGAGUUGAGCUUUUGAGUUGACUCUAAGCAAGAGAGAGAAAUUGAUUCAAUGUUGCAAGCAGGUCCGCAAGUGAAGGAGAGUUCGCCUAAGCUGCUUGUCCCGCCUCCAAGUCUUAGAGAUAAGAUGAAAUAGAAAGUAAGUCAGCUGCCCUAAGAAAGGAAAUAAGCUUAGGAACAAAAGAGAAGGAUGUUGUUAUAGAUAUAGAUAAUCAAUAGGUCCGAGUGAAGCAAGGUGUCAUGGAGAAUGGCCUGUUCGAAAGGAAAGUGUAGUUAUCAGGGAAGAAUAAGAUAGUAAUGGCCGGUAUUGGGCAGCAAACGGGUAAUCUUCAAGUUUGGUUCAGGGAAGAUAAUAGGAUCUUACGCGUUAGGUCGUGUAGAGAGGUUUCCAGUUUGCUUACGUAAAGAAUAUCUAUGAUAUAAAGAAGCGCACUACAUGAUUAAGUCUCAAGUAAGGAGAGAUAGACUUCAAUCUCAGAGGCCAGUAUACGAGCAAGCGGUGUCAGUUUCAAAGCUCGUAUGCCGCUGCUUGCCGAGUCAUGAUCCACUGUUUCAUAUGUUUUUCAUAAGAAUUGGAACCGCCAGCACCUUCUUAUAUGUAUAUGUAUGUAUGCCCUAAGCUAGAAAAUGAUUCCUGAAAUGGCUGUAUAGGCUAGAUCUUCUUAGCAACCGGGGAAUACAAGACAAGACUGCUGGGUGGUGCGUGAGAGAGGACGUGCUCGUACCUUGACUAGUGCUUAUGGUAGUUUCUGGUAGCUUGCUUAUUGCUUUCCCUUUCUUCAAAAAGGUGUGAGGGAUGCGGAGUUGUCAACGAUAAGUCACGAGUAUAGAGGACUAGAUCUGGCUUGCAUAAGACCUAAAUAGAGCCCCAUAUGACUAUGUUUUCUUUCCCUUACCUAUGUGGUUUUCCACUAGUUGGCUUAUUUUAUUAGAAGAAGGAGUCGUUAGCACUCCCUCCCAGGCGAGCACCCUGAUGGUUAUCGAUUCCUAGGCUCUUAGCACCUUUAUCUAAAUGAGGUAUCUGUCCCGUAGUGAGUUGAGUGUGAGACAGAGAAAGACAGAAGGAAGGAUUCGCUUAUUCACUUAUUCAAUCAGGAGGAGCGUAACGAUCAGCUUUUUUCAAUACUUUAGUUGUCAACCUAAUAGCCCCUUUCUUUUCCUAUGUUCUUUACGAAUGGGGAGUCAAGUCAUUCUUAUACCACUAUUGAGGUGCACAUAUUAGAAGCUUCAAUCCACUUUCCAGGUAAGCGUAAGCAAUUGUAGGGUUAGGGAAGGGGGAAGCUCCAGUCAACUGAUUGUCUCGCCUCAUUGUCUGCGAAAGAGGUUAUUGACGGAGCGGUGAAAUCGUCAGCAUAAGCAGGAGAAGCAUCAGGUUCAUUAGCCGUUCUAGUUUGGAGUGCAGGAGAUUCCCAGUAAGGAAAGGAAGCCCAAUCUCAAGAUGGAAAUUCAGCAUUCCAGAUCUGAGGCCCCUUUCUCAUUUCAUUCGAUAGAAUUCUUAUCAAUUUGAUCGACCCUCACUCACUAGGGGAAGCGCGGACGAGUGGAAGACUUGGGUGUAAUGUCCGGUAGUUCAGAAGACUUACAGCUUUCAAAACGACUCUUCCUCUUUCACUUCUUCUUGUUUAGUUAGUUCAGUAGCUCUUGAAGUUAGAACUUGCCGUUCCGAGUUGCUUCUCUCAGUUUCUGGCGUUAUGAAGUUGUAGAUCAGUUCUUCAUUCUUUCUUGAGUUAUAGUUUUGAGUGUGACUAGCUUCCAUGAGCGUAUAGGAUCCUCUUCUAGGGCUCGUUUCGGAGUGAAACGAACUAUGUUAUGAAUUGAUUUAUUCCCCCCGCCCCCGAGUUAGACUUUGGAAGAGAUGGGUGAAUAGAAACCUGUGGAAUACCUUAUAAGAGAGCCGAAGGAAGGAAGAGCACUAUAGAGCCGGAGGUAGGGAAGGUGCUAAGAGCCUCGAUUCCAGACAGUAUAAGAUCCCAGAGUGUUUUUCGAAUGCCCCUUAAUUUCACUGAGAUCACCAAUGAAGAUUUCGAUUAUGGUAAAGGUUGCUAAGCUAAAGCCUCUAUACUAUGAGGGAAAGCCAAAGAAGCUGGCCUUACUAGAGAAGGGGGCAGUCCAAAAAGGGAGAUUCUUUUAGUUAUACCAGUAGAAAGAAGGGCAGCAGCUAAGAUCCCCAAUCGGCUAGAUGCGAGUAGCUCAUGCCCGGCUCGGGAAAUGAUGUUUGAUAAGAUGGAUUCGUUCGUGAAAGAAAGAAAAUGCAAUGGUGGGAAAUGAAUGGAAAGAAGAGUUGGAGUCUUUCCCCUAAUGAGGUGCCGACAUCUGUGUGAGUUCCUAGGAGUUAUGUUACAACAUCCUUUCUAGUAAGAGCAUCUUUGUUAGUUCCUAGGAGUUAUGUUACAACAUCCUUUAGUAAGAGCAUCCGAGAUAGCCAAAGAUCUGAAGGCGAAGCAAGAACAAAGGUAGUAAUUAGAAUAAGAAGAAUGCUAAUCAAAUCCAGCUUAAAGCGCUAAAGGAACCCUAUAGAAUUUCGAGAUCCCUACCCAAAAGAUUGAUACCGAGUUUCCAGUUCCAUUUUGAUCAUUUUAUUAUAAACCAGCAUCAGUGACUAUCUAAGCACCACCAUAAAAUGACGGAACAACCUGUGGGGCAGUGACUUUUUUGAUAUCCAUAGUCUUUCUUUGGUUCGAAAGCGAGAUAUCCAUCUAGAUUUUCUAGAAACCUCUGACGGAACGGAAUGCUACUAACUUAUUCCUAUUGAUCCAGUUGACAUUAACUCAGUCAGUAGUUUGCCGUUGAUUUCAUUUAGUUGACCGAGAAUCCGGAGCUGCACCAUAAGGGGGAGGCCGCAUCAGAGCUAGUUGCAUCUGUCGAUUGAGUUGAAUCAGCAACAGAGCCGGUAGCCUCGCCAAUCUAGAUAGUUCUUUCGAAACCAUCCGUCUUUGUAGAUUGAUUGAAGAUUACCACUUAUAUACACACAACUCCCUAUUGAUUGAAGAUUGACCACUUAUAUACACACAACUCCCUUCUUAUUGCUUGCUUGUAGGCUUCUAUUCUAUAAACUCGCGUUAUAACUUCAUCUUGUUCCCUUGUUUGUAGAAUAUUCUAUGUUGUGCACUUCUUCAACUUCAUUAUGUAAAUGGGUAAGAAAACAGCUGAUAAAUAAAUAUAUGGCAAUUCUUUUCAAAGCAGUGGGGGUAGCUCAACUCUUUUCAAAACAUACUAUAACACCCCUAAACUCGCUUGUGUCAUUUCAUUUAAGAACUCCGCUAGGCAGCCCGCCAACCAAUAAUACAAUUUGGAUUCCUUCAGCUUGUUCCUAUUCUCUCUGUCUAACUAAAUAAUGCGCGCCCGGAGCUGCUAUUCCUUGUUCUCGGCGACCUUAUGAGUAGUGGUCCAGCAUCAAAUAAGUAAGGGGCAUUAAGGUUAAGGUAAGGCGCCCCCGCUCAUAAAGGCUGUAGAACAUUCAUUGAAGCCUAAACUUCCUGUCUUUGACUUUUACUUGUUUAUUGCAUUAUGAAAUUGCUUAUGAAGUUGACUUAUGUUAUAUUAAUUAGUAUUUGAUUAGCAAAACCAGAUCCCAAAGAAAGGGUUUAUUGCUUUUCUGUUGAACGAAGGGGCUAUGGUGCCAGUGUUUAGUAUACAUUAUUCUGACUAGUAUUGGUGCUAAGCUCUACUCUAUUGGAAGCGAACUCGGCAGUAAGAGAAUUAAGUACAUUCAUGGAAUAAUAUAACUCAGUAAUAGGAAAAGAGCGACUACUAUUGGGAUCCAGCCUAAGAAAUGCACUAUUCUGACUCGGUAGCUACUUACGUUGAUUCUCUCACUGCGGAUUCGGAUACUGACUUCUUAGAUAAGAGUCUACCUCUCUUGACUUUCAUUCUCUGUGUUGCUCCUUUGAUCCCUUAAUUCAAGUUAGAUGCUUCCUUUCUUUGAUUUCCGCCUGUCGUUCAUUAUCUGGUUUGUUCAUUAUCUGGUUUACCGUACUGGUUCCCUGGUUUACCGUACUGGUUCCCUGGCUUACUUUACUACAACUAAGUCUACCAUUACUCGAUCCAAGGAUUGAGAAGGAUCUCCUUUCACUAAUAUCAAUAAGGGAACUGAGCUAUAUCAAUAAGAGAACUGAGCUAGUAUAUAUCAUACUAAGACUAGAGUAUUUAGUAGACUAUUCAUGUUAGUAAACUAUUCUGAGUAUCAGGACAGUGACUAUAGUGAUAGUAGUAUAAUAAAAAGCAGAAGAAGAAUAGGUAAAAUACGGAUAUGAUAUCAGUAGUGGCAGGCUCAAAAGAAGGAAUGUAAGACUAAAAGACGGGAGCACCAGACUCGGGCUUAUCCAUAAUAGAAGACAGUAGUUGGUAAUUAAGCCUUAAAACGGGAGCAGUAGAAGGAUGGAAUAAGGCAUUUAAGAGCUAGCUACGAGAGCGAGAGACUGUAUAGUCAGAACGGAAGACAGGGGUAGUCAAGUCAAGCCUUAGAAGCGGGAGAGUCGAGCUGGUAGUGCUAAUUUCUACUUCAAGUAAUAGCUGGGAGAGCUAGUUGGUGGGGGCAGAGAUACAGCUUAGGUGCCCGCAGAGCAAGGUAAGGCUCGAGAUAUGGUAAAAGUCAGUCUAAAAGACAGUAAGCAAGGUGCUCUAGCUAAUAAACCAGAUUCGGGAUCAGGAAUAGCAGUUUUCAAGUAAUGAGUAGGGCCUGUUCCCGUAUAUGAGCAGUAAGGCUCGGCAAUGAGCAUAGGAGACAAGAGUAAUAGGGCAAGGAAUCAUAAUCCAACUUCUUAUUAUAAUCAUAAAGACGUAGCGGGCCUGUGCAUUAGUUAGUUAGGAUACCGGGCUAAGUAGUCAAAGAAUGGCUAAGCUGAGUGAAAAAGACAGAACAACUGCCCAGUAGAAAAGAAUGGCUAAGCAUUGGAGGGAGUAAUUAGAAUAAGUGGUUUCGGUUUGAUAUCAAGUAAGGAUAUAUGGAGGCAGGCCGAUAGAGGAGAGUACUCAACAUGGGCAUUGUAGGUCCAGUCCCGGUAUAAGAAUAAGAGAAAUAAGUAGUUGACUUAGAGGCCGUUUCAAAGCAAGACAUACGAGAGUUGAACCGAGGCAAGUAAUAUUUGGUUUCUGUGUUGGGUGAAUAAGGCUUGAACAGCUUCGUUCUAUUCUACGAAGACAUAAGCAGCAAUACCAAAUACAAAAGUGCAAAUACUAAUAAACCACUAAUAAAAGACUAUCUAAUAUUGUAUAUGAAAACCCAUUCUACUAUAGGUGAUUUAAUGUUCUAUUAGAUUAUUAUUUAGUGAACCGAGCUGUAAGAAUGAAAAGGAGUAGUACAAUACUAAAGCUACCAAAACAAGUAAGGGCUUUGCUCCCAGUGAAUAAGGCAAGGCUGGGUUUACUAAGUGCAACUCUUAUCGAUAUUGGUUCGAGUCUGUUAGCAUUGUUGUUGGAUUAAUGGACAGUAGCGGCAGUCUUUCUAUCCGUAGCUCAAUUACAUCGAACCUGAGUUUCUUGUUCAAUCCUUAUUUCUAGUGGUUUCAACCUUUCCAGUGCUAGUUUAGUUUACCUAGUCCUGACCGACAGGGUAUUAAGAAUAUGAGUUAGGCGCCUUGUCAGCAGCAGUUAAGGAAUCGGUUUGGCUAGGGGUAGGUCUAUUCUUUUACUUAUGGAUUGAGUUCUUUAUUUACUACUUUCAGAAAUAGGGGUGACAAUUUCAGAGUCAAUAAGUCAACUGGGAAUUAAGAAACCGUGCAUAGAGCUAUGAAAAUCCAAUAAGUAACUAAAUAAAGUCAGCCUAAAAGCAAGUAGAGGACCCAUUCUUGUGUAGUCCAUACAGAGGGAUAGUAAGGAUUUGGAGAAUUCAAGCAAAUAGUGUUAGGUUGAGUUACGAGUUAAAGUGUCUUACUUACGCCCUUGCUUCUUAGAUAAAGUAUCUCGCUCUUGUACUUUUCACCUGUCUUUAUUUGUUUUGAUUCUGACUACCUUUUCUCCUUUUAUGAGAGCUAUGGUUUUAAGAGUGACUUUUUGUAGGCGAGUGCAGACACUAGUGCAGGAGAGCCUGGUUUAAUAGUAGCAGGCCGGGUGCUCAGUAGGAACCGGGGCUUACUUUACUACAGCCAAGGAUGCCCUUACGACUAGACUAACAAGGGGCAAACCCAUAUCAAAACCAGACUUUCCCCCCGAGAACAGAGAAUCUCACUACUAUCAAUAAGACCUGAACAACCAAUGGAAAGAAUUGGACUUAGCACUAACAGGGUGAAACACUACCUAAUAGAUUGCACUAAGUGCCUCUCUAAGCUCAAAAGAUGAAUUGAACCGGUACUAACAAGCCCCGAGUCUUUACCACUCAUACUUAUGCUCUAAACACACUCUUCCCCUACUGAUAUAAACCGCGUAUCUUAGCCUAUAUCUCUUUUCUUUCAAACAAACACGCAUACCCUUGACUCUGAUUUUCAUAGGGCUUACGGACAAACAGACUUGAAACCAGUGCUUCUCAUCCUUUAUCUUAUGCUAAGGUGCGGAAAGCCUACUGGAAAACAGACUUUAGUCAGUGCUUCUCAUCCUUUAUCUGACAAUAAGGAAUCGAACCAGGGCGCCUAAGCCUACCUUUUCCUUUAUCUAAUUCCUCAAAUCUAUACCUUCAUUCCUUAACUACCGAUUUGGAGUCUGCUUUCCUUUAUAGGUAUUACUUUACAGCCUAGCUUCGCCGCCCCUAGCUUUGAUUCUCUCUUUUCUUAUUAUUAAAUUCAUAUGUGUUUUAUUGUAUAAUAUGUUCUAGCAUUUUCCUAGUAGUUGAUUAUAGAAACUAAGUCCCAUAAGUACAAUGGCUAUUCUCUUUUGGAAGGCAAAAACGGCUCUUGUUUUCUCUUAUUUAGUAGGUUUGUUUUGCUAUGACACCUGCGCUACCUCACCCAUGUGUCUGCGAUCCCUUGGGCUGAUGCCCUGACCUACUCGACCAGGUGCCCGGCCUCUACAUUGAUACGAACUCUGCUUUCUACCUUAUACGAACUCUGCUUUCUACUUAACGAGCACCGACACAAACACCGACACAAACACCGACACACACCUAGAUCGGACAUGCACAUAGUCGUGGAGUUGCACCUAUCAGCCUACGAGCGACCAUGGACUAACUCUUUCAAGUGGCUAAGCGCAUUCAAUUCACUGGUCGAAACAACGGCACGGGGGGCAUAUGAAAAAGCUGGUUUUUUGGAUCAAAACCGAGAUAAAUAACUUGUGGUUUUUGGACUGGUUUCGCUAAGCAACAUAGAAAGAAGUUUUCUUAUACAAUCAAAGAAUAAUCGGAUAAAGAGAUAGGGCCAAGCAUAUACUAGAUGCGAGCCAAGUCCUAGAACACAACUGUCAUAAUAAAAGGCCAAGCAAGCCGACAAGUCACCACUAAUAUCAAGAAAAGGUAUAAAUUCUCUCCGAUAACUACUAAUACACUAGUCAAGGUAUCAAUUCUCUGCAUCUAGUAUAAGAGGGUAACUUCGCUCUCCACUCUAAAGUCUUAAUUGAACUCCGUAGUCACAGUAGGAUAAGAGGUAUACCUCAUUCAGUUCAUCGUUUUAGUUGCCAGCGUGAAAAGAGACGAGGUCAACUCUUUUCAUUCAGUAAAGGGAUACUCAGAAGCAGUCUUCAACUCUAUAGUAUAAGAAGUCAGGCAGCUAGCGCAUCUUUUCCCUUAUUCUUAUACAUCUACUUACCACCCUUAACCAACUAGUGGUGCUCUUAACUAAACCACCGGCGUGCUCUUCAAAGUAUGGAUUGAAACCUAAAGUCAGAAUGAAACUCGAAGUUAAUAAAUAGAGUAAUUCGCCGAUGGGGUCUAGUCUAAUAGAAAGAAGUAACCAAAGAGCCAUAGGUACAGGAGCAAUCAAUGAAUAAGGUCUUAUACUCUUGAUAUCCCGACUAAUGGUCUUAUACUCUUAUAAUGACUUGGACGCGGUCCAGGGCUCCUUUAGCUAUUAAUUAGGACUUGGGCCAAGCAACCUUUCUUUCCUUC
This 65721-nucleotide long non-coding RNA is filed under the name Musa acuminata (dwarf banana). RNAcentral's name for it is "long non-coding RNA (MACU_LNC009395)". The record is from RNAcentral. Lineage: Eukaryota; Viridiplantae; Streptophyta; Magnoliopsida; Zingiberales; Musaceae.